ACCAACCAAAGUUCAGGGGUUUCGAGCAUAUUAUAUAUGUUGUUUCUUUGAUUUUUCAUUGUAUAAACAAUCUUAUAUAGUCCUGUGAGAAAUGUGUCAGUGCACAGCUCAUUUAAAUCCGUUGUUUAUUUUUUAAAGAUAUGAUUUAGUUUUAUUAUCAUAGUACUAACAAGCUAAAUAGGCUAACUAUCUAUAGAAAAAGAUAGUUAGAAAUGAAAACAAAAACCAUGACUUAUAUAGUUCUAGUAAGGCAAUGUAUCUGAAGUAAUGUCCCGAAACAACAACACUCGACCUUCUCCCUCAUGCAAGCAUUUCCUAAUGCCCGAUAAAGAUGAGCUAGUGCGGCUGCACCCCAUGCCAACUCACCGCAAACGUCAAAAUCCUUUAACAGUGGCAACUAUUUCAAAUGCACUCUAUCCUCGCUUGGAUUUGGGAGCAAACUACAUCCUAUCUCAAAUAGUAUAUAUACUCUCGUUGUAGCUCGAACAAUAGCGGGAGGUGCAUCUAAGGCGAUAUCAUAAAAACGAUGGUAUAACCAGUCUACCUUUAUCUCACCGCCCCUAAUAUCCUCAGGAACCACCCCGAGAAGUAGCUCACAGAGCUCUGGCCAGUGAUAUGAUGCCUCUCCAGUCAGAGCCCCACCAUGGACGCAGAGUCCAAUAAUAACAGUGAAGUCCAUCAAAGAAAUAAUCAAAUAAAUUCAGUAAGAAACAAAAGGAUGAAACAUGAGUGCGUAAGCAUAAAAUAUGAAAAAAGUUAAGUGUAAUUUCAUAUAGAAAAACCUAGCGACUACGUCUGUUGGUCCUUCUUUGCUAAUUUUCAGGAUAUGUACUUUUAUAAUGAUCGGGCUGUUUACACAUACUACACUUGCCUCUCCUAUUCCCAGCGCCUUCGUCCAUAACAUUACGGAUACACGUAGAUUUGGGUCGUCCGUUUUUUUCUUCUACCGCAUGGUGGCAGCAUAGGUGAAUCAUAUGACUCGAUCCAAUAACGACGAUCGGGAACAGGGUGGAACUGCGGUUCAUAAGCCUUACGAUAGGAUGCGGCAGUAUACUAAGGAGAACAUAAGCCAUAAUAAUCUAUGUUCAUAUGUGAAGAACUACAACAUAAAAAAAUAUGUGAACAAGGGAUUCUUGUGAGUUGCAAAUACAAACAUGAACAUGUAGAAACCAUUCCAUUGAUAAUCACUUGGUAUUGAUCGUCCCCGCCAAUAAGUACGUCGAACUCGUGAGCUCCAAAUCGUCGAACUGUAUAUGCUCUAGCACAUCUCAUCCGGCUAUUGAUGGUGUUUUCAACAGUUGAUAUAAACUGCGUAGACAUUGCAGCACCCUCCACACGAUAUUUUAGAAAAAAUUCUACCACUCGAUGAAACGUUGCCAUCACAAAAGCUGUAAUAGGUAACGCACGAACUCCCCUCAACUGUCACACCCCAAUAAUCCCACAUCGGAUAGGAAUAGGGAUGUGAUUGGAUAUAUAAGAGACUUAAACACUAGUAAUAUAAUUGGGCUUAAGCAUUUUGGGCCGGUUGUUGGGGCCCAAUGAGUUAUUGUUGCUAGUGGGCUGGGUCAUUACAUCAACACCCCAUUUGAACUUUUCGAUCGCUUCGUUGUCAUAAUACCGAAUCGUCGACCAUCAUCAAAAGCUUUAGCCCCGUAUGUCCUAUCGGUGUGAAGAUUGUCAACCCAAAGCCAAGCUUCUUCAUCCAUAGUUUUCAAUUCUUUCUUUAAUGCAUAAUAUUCUCAUUCUUCUGAAGCAUUCCCAAUUCUCCAAAAUAUCUUAAGUAAGUGAUUUGCUUUGACAUGAAUAUUCAUAUUGCCCUUCAUAUGUCGCAAACACCAUCAAUAAGCAUGACCUUCGGAUGGUGGGAAUACAAGUGCAACGAGAUUCGCUAGCUCUUUAAAACGAUCUGAAAUCAGUGUAAUAACUCGAGAUCGUGUUAUAUACCUUCUUAGGCAACUUAGAAACCAUUCCCAACUCGAGCCAUUCUUUCCCUCACAAAUUGCGAACGCUAGUGAAAAUAAACCACCAUUGGCAUGUCUGUGGCAAUUAAUGCGUGGCCUCCGUAUUUUCCAUACAAAUGGGUAGCAUCAAUACUAAGUACUGGGCGGCAAUACUCCCAACCAUGAAUCGACGGUCCAAAAGCCCAAAAGGGUCGUGAAAACAUUCUAGUAGUGCUCGUCAUCGUAAUAAAAUGAAUCUUCGUAAUAGUUCUAGGGUUUGUUUCUUCGAACAUAGAGAAGUAUCAAGGAAUGUCGCAGUAUGAUUGCUCCCAACUGCCGUAUAUAAUUUGUAGUGCUUUAACCUGCGCCCGCCAAGCCUUGCUAUAUGACAUGCUAACGUGCAUCUCACUCUGAAUUCGAGAUUGAAUUUCCAUAGGACUCAUAGUAAGCCCUGCCUUCAGUGUAGGUAGUAUAAAUUGACAUAUAAAAGAGGAUAUACAGUUUCGAUGCGUUGUAUUCAGAAUUGGAACCAUAUAUGUGUGUGGACCUCUAUAAGUCUUUACUUUAAAAAAUAAACUACCUUUUGGUUGAGAGGCAUGUAAUCUCUAUGGGCAAGAAUCGACCACAUAUCUCACAGUGUAUCUAGUUGUAUUCGACUUAACAACUUUAAGUUGCACAUUAUGUGCAAUGUGCCAAGCUUCCAAAGCAUUCACCAAGGAUGAUUUAUCAGAAAAUGUUUGAUUAGCCCAUGCCUCAUCACUUAGAGGACCCUGAUCAAUAUUUUGUUCGGUAUAUGCAUCAACAACGGAUUGAUGAAUUAAUUCAUCACCCAGGAGAAACCGUUGUCGUUGAUCUUCAAAUUCAUCGAAUUCCACCGGAGCCAGUACAUCAUUGUUGUUGACAUUUGAAUUUUCAAUCCAUUCAACACCUUUAUCUCGAAUAGCGAAUGCCAGUGCAUUCAAGCCACCAUCAUGAUUUGGAUCCAAAGAAUGCGGAACAAAAGAUUCAUCAUCAUCAUUAGAAUUAGCAUCAAUUCACCUUUAAUCCUCUUCAUUACUUUCAAUAACAUACUCCCCAUCACUUCUAUUUACGUCAUCGGUCUAUUCACGAACACUAGAUAAUGGACCUUCACUUUGAUUAUGAGAAAUAGUAAACCUGCUAAGAUAUUUAAGAUUAACUAUUCGCAUUGGUCCAAUUUUUAUGUAGCUAAAUCAUAUAAUCACCUACCGCACAUUUUGACCAACCAACGGAGACGGAUUCAUUAUAGUAGAUGGCAAUGAUGUGCUAACUGGCACAUAUAGGACUCCAAACUCUCUGUAACACUUACAAGACAAAGUUAUUAAUUUCGUGCACCUAAACUAAUUGAGGAAUUAUGAAAAAUAUUUAUAAAGAUCAUUACUUUAUACCUUGAUGUAUGACCUCAUUCGCGAUUGACGUAAUUCUUUUGAUAAUCGCUACUCCGCAUUUCCGUAUUUCUAACGGUACUUGGACGGUCUUGUGUUGUCGACACAUGUUUCUCCACGAAUAAUUUUAUACAUCCAUGGAACGGAAAAAAACUCAUCAUGCCAAUUAGUGCAUUGUCACUUGAUACGUCAACUAAUUCCCAUUCGUUGGCUCCCAUUGGACAUCGAACCGUUAUGCGGAGACGGUCUUCCACUCGAUCAUAGUUCGUAACAUUAUAUAUUUCCAUCUCAAAUUUUCGAAAUGAGAUAUCGCGUCGGAAAGCAACCAAUUCUUUACAGCCACCAAUAUAUCGUGGUACAUUAUUGCUCAUGACUAAAUUUCCGUCCCAAUAGAUAUAGAAAGGAACACAAUCGCCGGCCAUAGAGUUCUAAAGUAAUAUAAUAAUAUGUACAAAAUUAUUACACUCAUUACAUAUUAACAUAGCACAUUUCUAACAUACAACUAAGGAGAGGAUGAGAGAUGGAAUUACCAUUUUGCGAUCACGAUCGGCGCCGACUUCUAUGCCGAUCAAGAGCUCUGGAGGGAGGCAAGGGAGUGAUGAGAGAAAGAGAGAGUGAUUUGUGAGAGAGACAGAGAGAGUGUGUGAUCAGUGAGAGAAAACUGUAUGAGAGAGAGUGAGAGAGAGAGGGAGCGGUUCGUGAGGGGGCAGCAGAAUGAGAAAGGUGGGGGAGGGCACACAGUGAGAGAGUGUGGGGAGGUGGCUCAUAGUGAAGAGAGGUUGCGGGGGCUCACAGUGAGAGAGUUGGUGGGGGCUCACAGUGCAGUUGGGGGGGGGGCCUCACAGUUAAAGAGUGGGGUAGGGGGGCGCACAGUGGAGAGAGCGUUGGGGGGGCGGGUCGGGGGCGGCCGUUGAGGGUGGCGGGGUUCGGGCGAGGGGUGCGGAAGGGGGUCGCAUGAGAGGGUAGAAAGGGCGGCGGCUAUCGUGUCAUAGAGAGAGAGAAUAGAUAGAGAGGGAUGGGACGUACGAAAAGUUUUAGGUUAGAGAGGAUACGGGUGGGGAAAAGAGAUCGGGCGUAAGAGAGGGCCGAGCACGCGGCGGCGGAAGGGGGUGCAGACACCACAGAGAGAGAGAAAGAGAGGGCGGCGUCCUGGCGGGCCACAGAGAGAGAGAGGGAGAGAGAGAGAGAGAUUGAGCGAGAGAGGAGGGUGGGAGCUCGGGCGGGGUAGUAAUACAAAGAGAACAUGGUGAAUGGUUCACCGUCGUGUUCAAACACGGUGAACUAUUCACCGUGUCGAAACACAGUUAACCAUUCAUCGUAUUUAGACACGAUGAAUCGUUCACCGUGUUCAACUUAACUGCCAGGCCCCAGCCCCGCCCGUAUGGCGUUGACAUGGCGCUUGCGUAACAGGGUUGGGAUCAUUUUUGCAAAUAUAAAUUUGCUGGGGCUAAUUUUAAAAUUAACUUUUUCCAGGGGGCCAGUUGCAAAAAAAGCCCUUUAGGAUGCAUUUGGUUCGAGUUAUAUAGCACUAUUAUAGAUUAUCUGAAUAAGAUUAAUACUGAUAUUGCGUUACAGCGUUUGAUUUAAUACAGUAAUGUAAUAAUGUAUUACAGUAAAUAUUGAAUUGCUAUGUUUGUUUCAGUUUAUAAAAUUUAAUAAUUCUGACAGUAAAGUAUAGUCUAUUCCAAAAUUAUCUUUAUUAUCAUAUUUAUUUUUUUUUUUAUCAAACUGUAACUUAAUAUAAUUUGUACUUGAAUUAAUUCUAUUAAUAAGCAAUAUAAAUAAAAAAAACCACACAUAAUAAAAAAAUAAAACCAAAAAUUAAUUUUAACUUAUAUAAGAAUAAAUUUAAAAAGACCAUAUUAUGUAAUGAUACGAUUAUUUAAGAAUAAAUAAAUUUCAAUUUAGAAAGUCAUUUAUAACGGUUCGUCUGAAUAGGAAUAGAGAAAGAGAGGGAGAAAGAGAGAGAUAUAAAUAAAAAUGAUGUAUUGAAAGUGUUUGGAGGGUUGAAGGGUUAAAAUUAUAAUUUUAUUUAAUAUGCAAGAUUACCUGCUAUCAGUAAUACGGGAUAUCCACCUUUGAACUCAGUAAUAUUUUCGGAAUAAUCUUAUACUAUUUGUAAUCUUAAAUUACCGACUAGAUUAUAUAUUAGAUGAACUAAACGUAGUAAUCCUAGCAAAAUUAUCUGUAAUCCUGACAGGAUAAUCUGGACCAAACGCACCCUUAUUCUAAUUCUGUAUACACUUAAAACAAACUCUACUACACAUCUAUCUUCACAAAAAUUCAUUUUAGACCCUUUCAAUCAUCUUGUGUUCUUCACAAAAAUUCAUUUUAGACCCUCUCAAUCAUCUUGUGUAUAUCUCUUCUUUGGCUAUAGCAUGUGUAUAUUAAUCAUAUAUGAGAAGCUUCUUUCUUACUCGACCUUUGUCUUGCUAUUUGAUGGUGAAGACAUGGAAUCCAAUCAACAACAAAAAGUUUGAGGCCUUAUCCUAUCUACCGCCACUCUCUGAGGAAUCAAUCGCAAAGGAGGUUGACUACAUGAUCUCUAAAGGAUGGAUCCCCUGCUUAGAGUUUGAUGAGGUAAUAUUCCCUUAGCCUAACAUUAAACACAAAUUUCCGUGAUAUCAUUAUCCUGAUUUCUCUGGCUUAGAUAAUGAGGUAAUAUUCCCUUAGCCUAACAUUAAACACAAAUUUCCGUGAUAUCAUUACCCUUUCAAAUGUAGCUAGCUAAUUGGGUAUUUAUUUUUUUAGAUAAAUGAUAUAGAUGGUUUCUGAAUCAUUGGAGGAGUUUAAUGCAUUGUGAAUUUCCAAGAUCAGCAAUAUCUGGAAUUUUGUCACUAUCAACUUCUCUUAUCUGUUGUUACCUUCAGAUUCUGAUGGAAUUACCUCAACUCAAAGAGUGCGUUAGAAUUGGGGUUCAAAUUGAAAAAUUCAAGCGCAUUUGAACGAUCUAUAGUUAGAGGGCUGUUAAUACUCUUCUAAAUAUCAUUUGCUAUUAAAACUCUCAUAAAUAAAUCAUAAAAGGACUAGAUGUUCUGAUAUACUUGUAUAAGCCUAAAUAGUUGUUAGGAGCAUUAAGGUGAUAAUGUUUUAUAAACAUUACCCAAUUAAGACCGAUCGAUAUUGUACUAAGUACUCCAAGAAAGUCCGACUGGUAAGAUUUACUCCCAAGAUUUGAAUUACCAACUUCAAUCUCUUUUUUCUUCAACUUUAUUAUGAGAUUAAAUUCAGCAGUUCCAACGGCUCACAACCUUCUAUUUUCAGCUGGAAUGUUCUUUCCAGAGUCACAAAGUUUUCACAGAAAUCAAGAUAAUGCUUAGGGAGUUAAAAAAAAAAAAAAAAAAAAAAAAAAAAAAAAAAAAAAAGCCUGGCAUUGGGGCUUUGCUAAUUUUGAUUUACCAGUCUCCUUUUCUUCUCCUUUUGGCUACGCAAAAUUGUUUAUAUACCGAAACCGAAGAUGCAUGGUUUACAAUAAUUGGGAGUUGAAGGCAGGGGAGGUGCACAGGAGCAACAGCCGGAUGCCCGGCUACUACGAUGGGAGAUAUUGGACGCUGUGGAAACUGCCGAUGUUCGGCUGCACCGAUUCUUUUCAGGUCCUCCGAGAAAUUGAGGAGUGCAAGGAAGCGUAUCCUACCGCGUACAUCCGCCUCCUCGCCUUCGAUAAUCAACGCCAGUGCCAAUGCAUGUCCUUUGUCAUUCAAAAGCCUACCACCAUCUUCACCACUGCUGCCGCCGGAAAUGCUUGAUGAUUCAUGAGAUGAACGAGCCUUGCAGUUGAGGCUUCUCAUGAGUUUGUUUUGUAGACCACAGAAUAAAAUCAGGAUCAGAGUGGAACUUUUCCGGAUCAAAGCAACUUUAUGAACGGUUUAAAAUACUGUUGUUGUGAAGGACCAGGAGUCAUCUAUUUGCGCCAACUCCUCUGUGAUGAAGUGAUUGGUAUAAGUAUUUUGAAUUUGUUAAUCUGUGCAAAACUCUAAUCAGGGAUGAAAAUGGCUUAGCCAAGGUUUAAAGUGCCGCCCGUACUGUGCGGUACGGGGCGGCACGUAAGAGGCACGGUGUAGAGAGGGUCUCGGACCUCCGGCCGUGGCACGGAUCUGCGUAUUGCGUGAGAGAGUGCGAUACGUUCGUGCCACGGCACUGUGCUGUGCCAGCAUACUAUUCUUUUUUUUUGCUUUUUUUGCUUUUUUUUUUCUUUGGAUAUCAAGAAGCAUCCCACACUACUAAAAAUUUUGCAAAUUGAAAAUCUACUUAUUAGAUAAGCAAAAAAAAUUAUAAUUUAAUUUUUUUAUUUAUCAACAUACUGGCAAAUUUUUAAAUUUAUAUAUCUGAUCCAUACCACAGACAUCUGCUUCCAUCACAGGCAUUCAUUUUUUUCAUAUAAAUUAUUUUAUUAAAAUUUAUCAUAUUGUAAAACUUUUGGCAAAUUAAGUCCGAGCCCCCCGCAUCCACUAUAGAUAUCUAUUUUUUUAUUAAUUAUUUUAUUAAAAUUUGUCGCACCAUAAAAUUUUUGCCAAAUUAAGAAAAUAAAAUUGAACUCAAUAAAUAAAUUUUGAAAUACAUCAAUUAGAAUAUUUUAUUUUUGCAUUAAAAAAUUAAAAAUACUGAUAAAAUAAAAGCUAAAUUAAAUCAUUGAUACUUAAAUUUAUUUAAUUUAUUUGUUAUAUAAUUUAUUACUUGAUUUUUUUAAUAGAUCUAAUAAUUUUUUAAAAAAAAUUAAUUAAAAAAUAUUUUUUUUCAAAUACUUUUUACAAUAAUUUGUUCAAAUAAUUUUAAAAAAUUUUUUUUAUUUUAUAAAAGAAAGGUUGUAAUACGAUCAAAAGAAAAGAAAGAAAUAUAUUUUUGCAUUUUUAAAAUUCAAAUCUGUAAAAUUUCUAUUUUGCAUCAGGAGUAGUUAUACUUUAUACACCAAAAAAUUUACAAGUAUGUUAAUUAAUAAAUAUAAUAAGCUAUAUAUAGUAAAUAUUAAUAAUUAUUUGAUUAAAUUUUUCAAAAUAAUUUUCUAAGAGUUUAUUGGAAGAAAAAAAAUUAAAAUAAAUCUGUACCAAAACAUACCAGUAGGUAGUGUGUGAGUACCAAAACAUGCGUAUUCAUCAGCACACAAACGUACCAUAUAUCAACACCAAAGCAUGUGAGUACCGUGCCAUCCCAAACAGAUAGCGGUAUGCUUUCGGACCACGACACUUUAAAUCUUGGGCUUAGGUAUCAUCUUUCCGGUUUAAUUGUGGGAUUCGAGCUUUGCCAGAUGUUGAGCUUACUCUUUAGUAUAGAAUCGUGAUUGCUGUCGUGCCACCCACACUUGUCCAAUCGUCACACGGUUGAAAUACCCUGUCAAACUCUACAUCUCCCACAAAUCCUUUUACAAAUUUAUUUUAAUUAUAUUAAUUUGUUGUCUGGUUUGUGCCUGCCGUAUCACGAAAAUAUGGGAUGAAACACUAGUAACCAACCAUUUGAUACACAUGUUAUAUAUCUUAACUGGAAAAGAAGAACGGAUUUGGAUAUUGUUUUGCCACGGUCUAAUCCUUUCCCACGCUUACUCAAACCAACUAAAAUAAAUUAAACCUAGUAGUUUUCCAAAUGUAGAAAAAAUUGCACGUGAGUAGGGGUGGCAAUCGAACUCGCUGUUCAUGAACCAGCUCGUGCUCGACUCGAAAUGAGCUCAAAAUCGAAUCGCUAGUUUAGUAAACGAGCCGAACACGAGUAGAAUUUUUCAGUUCGUUUAAUAAACGAGCCGAACACGAGUUAGAGUCAGCUCGUUUGUGUUCGGCUCGAUAACAGCUCGAAUACAUAUAUUUUAUAUUUAUAUAAUUUAUUUAAUUAGUAUUUAUAUAUAUUUAAUAUAUAUAAAUAAAUAAUUAUAUAAUAUAUAUAUAUAUAUAUAUAUAUAUAUAUUUAUUUAUUUAUUUAUAAAUGACUUAUUUAUAUAUAAAAUUUCAACCAUUAAUUCAAAAUCUAAUAGGUAAGAUUUUAUAAAUUUACUUUUUAUGUAUAUCUAAUCUAAUUUGUUUCUCGUGUUUGGUUCGUUUAUUAAUGAGCUGAACACGAACUGAAUUUUUUGGCUCGAUAUUUUAAUGAGCCAGUUUAUAUUCGGCCCAUACUUAAAAGUGCCGAACACGAGCCGGCCCUAGCUCGCUCGUGUGCGGCUCGUUGACACCCCUACAGGCUACACGUGAGUUCAUGAAAGCCUUCAACCAGACCAAACCCAACGUGGCCCCCACCCCUUCCUCGCCGACACCCAAACACCUCGAGGGAAAGAGGAAAAAAAGGAAAAAAGGAACUAGAAGCUUCAUUACAGAAAAUUAUGUACUAAAUAUACAGCGGUAAACAUUAGGUAGGAAAAAAAAAAAAAAAUCCAGUGCUCAAAACUAGGGGGGGAAAAAAAUCCACUCCAAGAUAACUACAGAAACUGCUCCGCACCAAAAUUUCCAAGGGAAGGAAAAAGUAUAUGUUUAAAUAACAACUACAUCAUGGACUGAAGUGCCUUCUAAUAAAUAAAAGACAGAAUUGUACAGUCAGAUGAGCGAUGGAGUGGCUUUGAAACGGGCAGAUGAACUUAAACUUAAUUCUAACCUUAGUAUCUGUCUUCUAAAAUUGUUGAUUUAAGAAAAUUACAUCAAAGUUCUAUCAGACUAAUGAUUUCCGUCAGAUAAUGUUGCAAAAUAUUCCGUCAGGGAAUAAUCUUACUUCUUUUAAGAUUGUUAGAAAUAUUGUUCAUUUGAGCCAAAAUGUUGUGACAUGAUGUAUAGAUAUUAAAAUUUUAUAGUUUAACUGAAAUCAAGUUUGUACUACAAUCCAAAUAUCACAGUACAACGAUACACCACCUGCUGGAAAAAAACUUGAAAUGAUUAUACUGAAAUUAACCAAUUUGGCUAUGUAUUGCAAGAAUCCUCUAUUUUCACUAUGAUCUAAGCAUGUAACAUUUCUAGGAAUUCCAUGGAGGGAAAGGACCACAACCACUAAAUGAGAAAAAGAGUGUUCGGAAUUUAGUACUCGCUCUGAUACCAGAUUUGAAAAUCUGCAACGCGCUCAAUCUGAUACCGAAUGCUGUUGACCCGGUACUCGCACCGAUACCUCGUGUUGGGAUUCUGCAAUGGAAGGAUCAAAUUAGAUUUUUUUUAUCAUAAAUCCAUCUUCUCGGUAAAAGCCGGAACAACCAAAUAAGAAGGAAAAGCCAAACAUGAGUAUAAAGUAUCACAUAUGUCAUUGAGCACACUUUGGCUCUUACACACCAUACUCAUAUGCAACGAUCAAUAAAAUCAUUAACUACAUUAAUUACCUUUUCAUGUAUCACACCACUUAUUUGUCUCUUUGGCACUUUUAUAUUUUGUCACAUUUCACUUUGUCUUUUCACUGCUUAUUGCCCCUACAUGUCAUAGUAUAGUAUAUGUGCAGGAUACAGAAUUUAGGUUUUUAUGUCAUCAGUGACUGCUUGCUAGUUAAACAUAAUUUGGAAGCAACUAAUACCUCACCAGCAUGCUUCCUUGUUAAACAUCAAUAUAGUACCAUAGUUGACAUCUCACUAGGACCAAAAGAUUUGACUAGAGCAGGCAAAAUAGAUGUAAUAAUUAGUUCGCCAUUUCGGCGACAAAUACCUAUCUAAUCCAACCUCCAAAGAAAGUAUGUCAAUCUCAUCUCUGACACCCUCCUCACAGCACUACACCAACACCAGAGCACAAUAUAACUAUUGCCAUGUGGUGUGUCCAAAUUGGCGGGUCUUAAUUUAACCCGAUCCACAUUAGAUGUGGAUUAGGAUUUAUCCUAAUAUGUUAAGGAUAAGGAUGAAUUAUACGUUUCUUAUUAGUUAAGAAACGUAUCUCCUAGUGGAUAUCUAUUAUGGAUAUCCCAAUCCUAAUCUUUAUUCUAAUCCCUUUGUGAGAUUCAGGAUAUUUUAGGGGUUCCAUUAUUCUAUAAAUACGCCCCCCUUUUUUCUCCCGUAUGAGACGAUCAUAUACGAUCUAAUUCGAAAGAAUCAACGAUAAAUUUUCCUUCUCUCUCUUCUUUCUAUCUGGAAUUUCCACCUACGUUCCUGGGGUUUUGGAGUGUGGACAUAGAAGAGUACUCUGUUAGCCCUCUUCGAUUAGCAUCCGUCGCAUUCGAUCCCUGUCCGACACAUCCGAUCCGUUACGCAAGGCGUACGCAUGGGAGAAGGCGAAAAACGUGGGAGAUCUAGAAGCAUCUUGUAACGUAUCGCAUCCCCGUGAAACGUGCUGAGUUCCAUCGAAACGAGCGGAACGCGGAGUUGGACAAGCUAGAACAAGUUACAAUAGGUUCCAAGAGCUUUGGAGCCAUUGUAUAAGGUGUAUGGACCCAUGAGAGUAAACCUGUGAAAAUCUGGCUAAGUACCAGAAAUUGUGCUUUCGGGGUCCGGACCCUAGCUGCAGGGUCCGGACCCCAUAUGCGUGAAAUGCCCUGCGCGGGCUGACUGGGAGUGGUAUUGCUCUUGGGAUCCAGACCUUAGCUUCAGGGUCCGGACCCCGUAUACGAAAACUGCCCAGGAGGGGAUGAUGUGAAAAAUGAAAAUGAGAGGGGUUUAAGUGCUAUUGUGACAUGAGUGGGGUCUAUAGGGGUGAGGGCUUGGGUUGGGGCUCUCAUUUCUCAACCCUAACCCUAAAACCUUUCCCUCUCUCUCUCUAAAAAUCCUCUUUCUCUUUCUCAUUCUCUCUAGAUCUUGAGCAAAGGGAGGAGUUUUGGAGGAGAAGGCUUGGAGAAGAAGCUUCCCUAAGUGGUGGCAAGCUUGUGCAUGAGCUUUUGGAGGAAAGCUUUGAACCCUUGGUGAGUUUUUGAGGAUUUCUAGGGUUUUCAAGUAAAGGCUUUGGUUUAAUUCCUUCUAGUAUGCUUCUAGGAGAUGAAUUAGAGGAUUUCCCCCAUGGUAUCCAUGUUAGGGGCUAGUUUUGGGGAAGAUGAUAUUGUGUAGGGACCUAACUUUAGGGUUUUGGAAUUAUGAGGUCGAAGCUUGGGUUUGAUCUCAUUUUAACCUAAUUGGUAGGUCAACGAACGCGUUGGUGUAUUCGGUUCGGUGAUACGACGAGUGUGCGCGAAGAUAUCAAAGAAAAAGGCUAAGUUGGUACAGAUCAUCGCAACUCGCGGCGUAGAAGUCUAGAAAUUGUGGAAAAUUGGAUUUCGGCAUCCUUGUAUCACUGAAAGGUAGGGAAUGCUGUUCGAAAACACCGGAUCUCUUUAUAUGUCUAUGUCACUUUAUUUGAGCAUAUUGAUAUUGGUUGAAAUGCAUUUAGAUGCUAAAAGAAUAUGUGAAAUGAUAAUGACCCAAGUGAACUAUGUAUGAAACGAACCCUAUGUGCAUGUGAAUGUGUAAGAGACUAUGACAAUAGUAAACAAAGGUGACAUUGACUAUAGUGACUCAAUUGGCAUCGAAAAGUGAGUAGUUAAACGAGAUUUAACCCAAAGUGACAUUAUGAGUAGUGUGGCAUCAGGACUAUUGUGACUCAGAUUUGGUGGUAUAUAUGAUAUGGUAGAACCUAUCAUUGGCAUUGAGAUAUUGUGGCAUGAGACAGGUUUGGCUAUAUGUCACGCCCCGCGACCGCCCGCCUAUUUGGCCGGGUCGCGGCGACGCAACAAACCGCUGAACGGACAGGGUGUAAUAUACUAAAAACUUCGGUAAAUAAAUGUCGAACUUUAGUCAAAAUGACCAAAGUGCGAGGAUGGAAUACUUUGGAAAGUCCAAAGGUGUUUAAAUGGUCAAAGGUGCAAUGCGGAAGGUUUUCGAGAGCUAAAGAGCAUGAAAUCUGCAUUCUGCAGGUUUUUAGCUCUCGGGGACCGGUCCCUGAUGGAGAGACCGGUCCCCGAACGCGUGCAGAAUGAGACAGCCGAAAAAUCGGCUAAGUCCUGGAAGGACAGCUCUCGGGAACCGGUCCCUGCGGGGAGAGACCGGUCCCCGAGAGACCGGUCCCUCAGGAGAGACCGGUUGCAUCCUGCGAGAGCCCUGCUGACCCGCAUGGAGAGCUCUCGGGGACCGGUCCCUUGUCUGGGAGACCGGUCCCUGCCUGCGAAAACUGCCCAGUCCAGGCAGUUGAAAUACAUGAAAGGUGAGGGGUUUAAUAGCAAUUGUGCAACCCAAUGGUUAUGUGUGGGGGCUGAGAGAGCCUUUCUCUCAUUCUCUCCCUCACACACACUCUCUUCUCUCCCUCUCUCUCUAGAAGGCAAAGGAGAAGAAGAAGAAAGAAAGAAAGGAAGGAAAAGAAGGAAAAGAAGGUGAAAAAGAAAAUCAAGAGGUGAAGCAACUUCAUCUUCUUCCUCUCUAGCUUGGAAAAGGAGAGCUUACAAGGUGAGCUUUGAACCCUAUUGUAGUAAAACCCUAAAAUGGGCUUUGAAUAAACCUAGAAAUGGUUUUAAUGGAUUAUUUAGAGUCUUUGAAGCUAUCUUUUUGCUUCUUUAGAGAUCAAAACCAUGGUUUAGCUUGAGGUGAGCUUUGGCCACCUCUAAUGGUGAAAUCCAAACUAGGGUUUGGAAUGAGUUAGGAAUGGUUCUAAUGGACUCUUUAGAGUAUAUUGAAGCUACUUUUGCUUCCUAAUGAGAUCAAACCCUAGGUUUUGUAUAUAUAUUAGAGCUAGGGCACCAAAUUGGGGCUUUUGCUCAUGAGGGUUUCUAAAUGAAAUUGACCCUCAAAAAACCUAAUUGGGGACCCAACGAACACGUUGGUGCGCUCGGUUGGAGUAUACGAAAAGACAAUACAAAGUUAUGUGCAAAAUGGCCUAAUAGGGCUUUAUUUUGCCGCAGGUAAAAAACGAAGGACCUAAAAAUCCCAAGUAAAUUAUCGGAGCACCUUUGAAAGCCUACGAGGUGGGUGGUGCUUCUCAAACUUAUUGAACUUCUCUCUAUGCCUAAUGUGUCAUUCAUUUGAGCAUGUGUAUAUAUAUUAUUGCAUGCAUUUUAGGGUAAAGUGAUGAUGAAAAUGCGAUGAUGCAUGAUUGUGAGUACAACUUGCAUAAUAUGAUGAAUGAGAACUAUGUGAACGUCAAAAACCCUAUGUGUAUGCACGAGAGAAAAGUGAGCACCCAAAGUGAGCAAAAGUACAGAGUAACACAAUGACAUAGAUCGAGUGGCAUUCGAUAAAGUUAAAGUGAAAUGACACUAGAGAUAGUGUGAGGUAAAGAACCAAUGUAAUGUAAAGAAUGAUGAAAAUGACAAUGUUUAAAGUUAAAGUAAUGUGGGGAGUAAAGAACAUGAAGUGCUAGAGGUAGCCAAAAGUAAAGAAUGUAAAGAAUAUAAUUGCUAGAGUUAGCAAGAGUAAUGAAUGGUAAAGAACAAUGAUUGCUAGAGUGGCAACAAAAAGUGAUGAAAGAACACUAGAGCUAGUGUAAAGUCAAGAUUGAACUUAUAAAUCCUUUGAGUUAAGGAUAUGAUCAUACUUGCUAUGAGUUCCGUGCUCGAGGGCGGUCGCUCCCCCUCGGGCGAUGCGCUCCGGAGUUAUGCAUCACGGGUUGGAGUAAACCCGAAGGACGGUCCUAGCGGGUGAGUUCCUGCGAUGAUGGACUUAAUGUGAAGCAAGUCAAUGUGGCGAUACCCCCGGGUUAGCCUUGAGAUUAAAGAACAAAGUGCAAAGAACAAAGAACAAAGAACAGAGAACAAAGAAUUUGCGUAAUCUGCAUUUAUUUAAUGUUGAGCAUAUUCUGCUUAUUGUUCAGGCAUAUUAGCAUCAUGUAUAGUUCGGUUACUGUUUACAGCCUAUUCUUUCUAUUAUGCCUGAGUUAGUCCUAGUGGGAAAGUCGGUGAGAUUGAGGCCGAACCCACUGGGAACUUUGUUGUAGUUCUCACCCCACUAUUCCAUAGAGCCGGGACCCAGCGAGCCGGCGAGCGACCGCGGUAAAGGUAUCGCACCCUAGUCAGAGGCCACCAGAGUUGGUUUACAUUUUGCUAGUAGAGUUUCCCUAUGUUCAUCUUUUGUACUUGAUGAGAAAUAAUGUAAAGAAAAGAAUGUAAAGUUUCAUUAUGAGCAAAUGUGAUGUAAAAAGAAAUGAUGCGAUGAUGUAAUAGAAUGCAAAGCUUUGAUGAAUGUAACAGAUUAAAGCAAUGGAUAUGAUAAAAAAUGAAUCAUGUACUAGUUGAAUGUUUAGUUUCCUUUCUUUCUCACAUGGCUAUUGCUUACCCUCGUGUAAGUCGUUUGUGUAUAUUUCCGCUAGUGCUUUUCUCUAUUGAUGAAAAUGUACAUGUGAUGAGGCUUGGGCGGAUAGGAAAAACUCUGUCCGUUCGGUGUCUGUUUGACGUUCUCGGGUCGGGCCAAAUUAAUAUCGGUCCCGGGGCGUGACACAGGGUUUCCCCUGUACCGCGGACAGAGUCUCCCCUGUACAUUCAAGGCGUCGCUAUCAAUACAAUGUACAAAGUUCCAACCAGGAACACAUUUCAAUCAAAGAUUGCAUAAUGGAAGGUAUCAAACAACAUAACACAUCCUAUGUUAUUACAUGCAUUCACAUUCAUAUAUUUUUACAUCACAAUUCUCAUAUUACAUUUACACUAGCUUUCACUUAACUUCCAAAUACAAUGCGAUUUAACAUGAUUAUUACAACUUGAUUCUUUUCAUUCUUUACAUCCCUAAGUAAAGGCCAACUCAGGGUACCGCUAUCUCUGGUCUCGGUGGUAGGGCGUUAUCUAUGAUGCUACGCCCUCACCUUGCGCCGCCACGCCGCUCACUAACGUGGGGUGAGAACCAACUCCAUGGUUCCCAGUGGGUACGGCCACCCAAGGGAAAAGCUCGACCAAUAGGUCCAAGGGAGGCAACUGCAAGUUAGUUCAAUAAACAGAUAGAUAUAUAUCUUUAUUAUGCAACUAAUAAAACCAUGCCUUGCCUCACGAAUGCAAUAAUGCCAUGCUAUAUGCGAAUCAUGCAACUAUACAAGUAGAAUAUUAUUUAACUUUCUAUCAUGCAUUCAUAGCUUUUCAUAAUUAUACAUCUUGAUCAUUUCAUCGUUGGUUAUUUGACUUCUAAGGUUUUUCCUUACGUAUGCCAAGCUAAGCACCGACUCACGGUCUCGAUGUCAAUAAUGCGAAAUACCGGCCACAUACCAGAGCUGAGGUAUAUGGGUUAUACAAACCUGCCCCAAAUCCACUCGACAGGGUAAUCAAUCUAUAGCUAUAACGUUGCUGUAAUUCACUUGGGUUUUACCAAUUGCUCGAGGUUCACUAGUUCCGUCGAACUACAACCAAAUUCCCGUCAAAGCAGGGGCCCUCGAACAUCUAGGGACCGUCUCAGGGACCUCACUUCCCUGUGGUGUCGAUUUGCCGGAAAACACGCUUGAGGAGGAACGCCGCUAAGCGAAGACAAUUCAUGUGGCUAUAUUCCAUUUUCAUUUGGGUCAGUGAAUAUUAGCAUAAGCAAAAUGCCACAAAUGCCAAUCUAAUAGGUUUUUAUAUUUACUCAUGCCCGACUCUCAUAGUAUUUCUUGUCUCAUGCACUCUUGUUAAACUAUGGUUUAAAACUAUUUCUCUAUGCCAUCAAUGUCUCUAUUAUCCAUUGUCACCUUUGUUCGUAAUGUUCCCAAGUCAAUCUCACAUUAACAAUAAUAGGCGCCUAACAUACAUGUCCUUAUGUUUUAUUUUUCUAUGUUCAUUCGUUAGAAAUGUUCAUUGAAAUGAACGAGUUCACUUUACUUAGCUUAUCAUGGCAUGAAUGGUAAAAUAUAUAUUGCUCAAAUUGUCAAAAGUGUUUUGCUAGUCAUGACACUAGGUUACACUAUAUUGUUGAACUAUGUUCAGAUACUAGUUUCAUUAUCAUGUUUAACCUUAUGGUCUGAGCUCUAGGUUUAUGCACUCGAGUUAAUGUAUAUAGUGUCAUAUGCCACUUCAUUCUUAACAUUACUCAUGCUUGCUUUAUUUUUCCUAUAUGCUUAUCAUACAUUAGUUUAGCAUUAUCCACAUGCAUGCUUCAAAAUGUAUUAUUGUCUUUAGCAUUAUCUUAUAUGUUUAAAUUCAUAUCCUUUAUCUUACGCAUAUCAAAAAUUAUCAAUGAUUAUAUCUUAGUUCUAUAAUGUUAACAUACUUCUUUUCAUUUUACUUGAUGUCAUUGAUUCCUUUAGAUUUCAAUUAUAUUCAAUGUAUCAAUAUGAAUCUCAUUUCUCUAGGGAAAUCGGGGACAUAGCACUUCAGUAAUGCAAUAUUCAGCCUCAUUGCGCAUUAUCGAUUGAUUGUGCAUUUGAUCAGCUCCCGCGGCACCGGAGCCGGUUUGGCCUGAUUCUCGUCGCGCGACACGAAAUGCCUCAAUGAUGAUUGGAAAUUAAAGUCUUCGCUUAUGUGCCACGAUAUUCAAAUCAUUUUCAUGAUAUUUGACGAUAUCAUCGGUCUCAGCUGCGAAAACAGCGUAAAUUCAUUUUUUAAUAACUUUCAAUUGGCUCGAGAAUCGCCGAACGAUUCGCCAACGGCGUUCGUUACUUAGAAAUUAGAGUUUACAUAGCGGUCAAAGUAAUCUUAACAUAUAUUUUACAAAACCCAUUCGGAGCCCUAACUGCGAGUUACACUUAAUAAAUCAAAUUAAAUUAAGGUGAGAGUAUGUUUAGCCAGUUAGUAUACUAUCUAGAAUAUUCAGAAGGAUUUUAAGACAAAUCUAAAUUUGCCAAACCCGAGGUGACGCCGCCGACAAACCGCGUCACGGGAAGCCAGAUGAAGACUCGAUCCGUCGCAUCAACGCACGUUCGCAAGCAUCUUUCCAACCUGCAAUUUUAGAGAGAGAGUUAGAGAGAUGAUGAGGAUAGUCUAGGAGAGGUAGAGGUGUUUCUCUUUCUCUAUCUCAUGAAGUGGUGUAUGUUUGCUCGCCCCCUGGGUAGUGCGCGGUAAGCGUAGGGAAGAAGAGCACAUUGUUCUUUAACAUUACACCCAAACACUUUCAUUCAGGAGUUUUAUUUGCGUUCGAAGUUUGGAGCCUUUCUGAUAGUCGUUGAGCUCAAAUUUGACAGGGCUCAGUUUGAAGUACUGAAGAUAAGAAUAUAUUUAAGUUGUCAGUUUCGACAUAAUUUGGUCAAGAAAACUGGUGAUCCCGAACGUUAAAUCUAUUAAGUAAUACUCGGAUUUUAUUUCUCACUCUACGGUAAGUCAGGAAACAAUAUGAAACUUUAAACUUAGCCCUCAUUAUCAAAUAUUUCUGAUUAUUUCCAAUUUCUUAAUUUUUGAGACAUGUGCAUUUUUGAAAUUUUCCGCCCCAUCGUUCCAACAGAAAAUUCUGAUCUUUGUUUUCAUUCCGAUUUCGAAGUCAUUUCUGAUUAUGUUUUAUUUUAUAAAUCAUAAAUAGAAUCUUAACAUUAUUUUAUUUAUUAUUUUUAUACCAAAAUCUGGUUAUGUUACAUUUCUCAACCUUAAGGUAUUUCGUACCGCAAUCAAACCACGUUCAAUCCAGUUCUGCCGGCAAUGGAGGCGUACACUUUGUUCUCCUCAGAAGCGGUUACAACUAUCGUUGUCUCGACAGAAGCGAGCUGAUACUGAAAGACGUGUUUAAUCUAAACUUUAUUGCAAGUGUGAUACAAAGUGACAAACGGGGUAUACGCAGUAAUAAAGUCGCGCGCAAGUGAGUACUCGACGAUUCUCACGCGAUCGAAACAACAUCUGCAUUCGGCUGCACAAGGGAACUUCUUCUGUUUGCACUUCUUCUUUCGGAAUCAUUAUGAUUCGUACAGUACAUUGUUAGAGCAUAAUACGAUGCAAUAUUUAUCUUAUGAGUGCGUUAAUUUGCACUGACCCCUUAAAACUUCUACGCGAGAUUGGACAGCACUUCGCAAUUUAAGAUCUCCAGUUCGUUUCUCGAGCAAGUUCCAAAUAUCAGGUGGCUUCCUAGAAUUGAUGUCUCACAAGGAGUACUUCAUCAUCUGAUACCACAUGCCACGAUCAACAUCAAACUAUUUUCGCAACGAGAUCACGCGAGCACUCCGUUCGUGAAUUCGAGUCAAACUCCUCGAUAAGGCUAUCUGCCAAAUCGCUCUCGUCGGUCUCCAUAGGUGGACCAAAGGCCACCAAUCCUACGUAGGCCUACCGUCUAAACUUGUCUCAACACGCAGCGUCUCUCGCUCGCAAAUGCAGACCCAAUCAUCAUCGGGCGAAAUUCUCACUUGGGAAUUCGCACACACUCCAACCAGGAGCAACUAAGAUCCCAAACCACGUCAAGUACUCGGGUUGGGUCACAACCAUACUCGGUGUAUCAUCGGUCACACAAUCUAUCGCGUGGCAUUCCAUGCUCCCGGGCAUAAACUCGGACUACCGUCCUGACCAGAACUACGCCCUACACGUAGGUACCGGGCCGCUGUCACUCACAGCUGACUGCGCCUGCCCAAAGGGCCCAUGCUCCACAGUCCACAAAUGGUCCAGGCACGGGUUGUCCCCAAGCACUACCCGCCGUUGUCGUCCUACACGACAUGCUCUACCGAGUCACACGUAUCACUACCGGCUACUAGGCAUCUAAUGUGAGUCACUAGUCCCACGAAUGAUCCAUGGCAUGCUUCACACCUAGCAAUGCUUAAGUGCUACUGCCAAUACACUCUCUCGGCUGAAUCCACAUCCGCACUCUAUGGGUAUCUACACUCAAGCGCUCUACGCCUCUAUAGCGUUCCACACUAAGUCCAACAUUAGGCAAUCUUGCCUAUGCACACCGGCCGCACGAGCACAACCGCCUACCUCUUCUUAAGGUACCACUAGGCCCACAUGCUCAAACUUGGCCACUAAUCGAUUGUUCUCUCAACAAUGAUGUUACUUUCACUGUUCAAUCUACCGGAAUGACAUCCGAAAUUUUCGGGCCACUCGGGUGUUCUCAUAAGCAUCAUGGCUCAACUCUCGCAAUUUACAACUCAUAUUGCUCUGAGAGUCGUUUCGCCACUUCUAUCUCUACCGCGAGUCUCACUUCUCGCCAUAGAUUACUUCUAGCACUUCGCUAGUGCCAUCUGGCUCUAUACCUGUAUUGGCAGGUACUACGCCCUUACAACACGAGCAUGCCCGGGUAUCUAUACUUACCCGUCCACUCGAUCUCUACUAUGCGCAUGCAUGAUAAUAGUAAUUAACCACAUAACCAUUGCAUGCAAUGCAUCAACUUCAGAUCAUGCAAAACAUAUGCUUGCACCAAUAACUCAUACCUGCAACGACGUCGUCAGCAGCAGGUUCCUCAACCAGGGUCGCGUAUCUACGACCACCCAGCGUUCGCCGCGAACCCUUAGGUUGCAUUGUCCUCAACGCCCUCUCGUAGCUCACACCGCUGUGGGGGAGAGGGAUAGGGCAUAUAACAUGUUGCAAUAUUUGCAAAUAGGCCCUCCCACUUUCUAUCCAGUGCACUGCCCAAACUGGGCAAUUUUCNNNNNNNNNNNNNNNNNNNNNNNNNGUCGCGGCGAUGCAACAAACCGCCUGAACGGACAGUGGGUAAUAUACUGAACACUUCGGUAAAUAUAAUUCGAACUUUAGUCAAAAUUGGACCAAGUGCGAAGUGAAUACUUUGGAAUAGUCCAAGGUGUAAAUGGGUCAAAGGUGCAAUGCGGAAGGUUUCGAAGCUUAAGAGCAUGAAAUCGGGCAUUCUGCAGGUUUUUAGCCCUCGGGGACCGGUCCCUGUAUGGAGGGGAGACGUCCCCGAACACGUGAAAAAAUGAGAAUGGAAAACUGGCUAGAGAUCCUGAGAAACAGCUCUCGGAACCGGUCCCUGCGGGGAGAACGGUCCCCGAAGAGGCGGUCCUCAGGACGAGACCAGGUUGAUCUGCGAACCCUGCUUUGACCCGCAUGGAGGGAGUCUCGCGGACCGGUCCGUUGUCUGGGAGACCGGUCCCUGCCUGCCGAAACUGGGCCCAGUCCAGGGACAAUGACAGAGUAAAAGUGAGGGGUUUAUUUGGCAUUUUGACAUGUUAUGUUGAGCGGUGAGAGAGUGUCACGCCCAAUCCCAGCCAAUUUGGUCAAGGUUGGGUCGUAACAGACGCGAACGGACAGAGCUCCCCUGUCGCCCAAGGCUCUAAAACACAUAUAAUUAGCAAUUAACAAGGAAUUGCGAUAGUAUAAUUAAGGUUACUCGAUGGCAGAACAAUCGGAAGCGAAAGCGCUAAGCUAAAUAUACAAACACCACGUGCAUAUUUGAUUUUCUUUUUGAACAAUUCAAGUAUAGUAAUAAUAUUACAUUGCCAUUUCAAACCACAGAUCUUUUACAUUUAGUAUCACCACAUUACAUGAUUGUUUUCACUUUAUACCUAAAUCAACAAAAGUAAAGUUAGAUACAAUGUAUAACAAGAAGGGAAAUGGGACGUUACAAAUGGCAUAAGUCCCCGAGUGGGGCCGUACUACGCGCCAAACCCUUGCACUCGGUGCCUCCGCCGCCCCUGCUCGUGCUAGGACCUGUAGGGUUAGUGGUGUGAGAACUACAACGACAGUUCCCGUGGCUGGCAUCCGACCUCGGCCGACUACCACUAGGUCUAUCCAGGAUAAGUAUUUCAAGGAAGAAAGCUAGCCAUUACUAUGCAACUGAAUAUAUGCGCUGCCAAGAAAAGUCAGUAUAUAUACAAUUUCAAUGCGAAAAUGAAUGCAUGCAUGCUCCAAUCAUAUUCAACUUUGCUCUAUACCCAAUCUUACCGGGUUACUCUCUUUAACCCAUAACUCACAACAAAAUCCACUUAUAACGGGGGACUCGUAACCUCCCUAGGGACCUGUCACUGGUGGGCUUUACACGCCCAGUGUGCCACUCCGUGGGCACGCUGCGAGGAGGGUAGCGACCCUCCCUCAAGCCAAGACGAAUUGAGUAUCGAUCUAAUCCUCAAAACUGAGAGACUCAUAGCCAGUAGUCACAAUGCAAUGUCAGUGGUUCUCUACCAUUCACUCUGCACUCUCAGCUUUAACCUUCGACGAUGUCAACAUGCCGGGUUAAACUAUAUUCAAUGUGUUCAUCUCUCAAUGGCAAUUCUUGUUUCAAUAUGUCAAUGACACCCUUGUUUUCUAGGGUGUACCAGUCCAUUCUCACAUGUCACACACGAAUUAGGCUGUCAAUCCACAUGUUUUUUUGGUUAAUCUUCUCUUGUCAACUACGUUGUGAAGCGUACAAAAAUGAGAGUCAAUACCAAGUUCCACAUGAAGCUACCCUACUAUGCAUAAAUGGUUAUAUGAUAUAUCUCAAGAAAUAGAGAAACAGACAUAGAAGGAAUCCACGCUUCCGGCGUUGCACCCCCACUAUUGGUUGUGUGGGUCGGGUGCUGGUAUUAUUAGAAAGCUCCCUGUCACUUACGAAAGCCGUUCGCGCCCUAUAUCACAUAAGUGCCCGAUAUUAGGCCUUUUUGUACAUGAAUAUGUUCUAAACAUUUUCGAACGUUAAGAAGUGUCCCACGCGCUUAGGACCCCCCAAUUUUUAGGUUUCCCGGGGGCAAUUGCCCAAAAAUCCUACGGCCAAAAAGCCCCAAAUUCAAGCUCCUAAUAUUGGUCAUUUAGGGGUUUUCCCAGGAAUCCGUAUCCCAAUCCUAAGCAAAGCAAUAAGCAUGGAGAUAUAGAAGCACUUCUUAGUGAGGUUUCUAGACCUUUGGUUACAAACCCUAGGGUCCAACAUCACUUCAAGGAAAUUACCAUGAAGCACAAUUGAAGCUCUAUGGAGUUCCAUAAGGUAAUUCAUGGCCUCAAAAAGAGCUAUCUGAAUACCUCUAAGGAGCACAGAAAGCUCCAAUUCCGUUAAGAUAUAAAACCAAACCAUAGAGGAAAGCAAUCACACAAAACUUUACCCUCUAGUCAAAAAGCUCACAAGAUUCUCCUUGUUGGAGAGCUCCUAGAACCUCCAAGCCUCCAAAUCCUCCUCUCUUCUCUUCUUCUUCUUUUCUCCAGUCUAGAGCAUGGGUUCUAGAGAGAGAGAAGAGGGAAACAUGGUGGUUGAGGAGGUGGAAAAUGGCUGUGGAAGAGACAGGGAUGGGCACAUAUAGGUGUUGUAACAAUUGCCACUAAGCCCCUCCACUUGUUUCCAUCAAUCUGCCCAGACUGGCAAUUUUCGCCUUCGGGGACCGGUUCCCCGACCGGGACCAGGUUCCGAACGGGCGGGUUUUCCAGGAUUAGCCAAAUUUUGAGUUUUUCGGCUGUUGCGCAGCGCGGACGGUCUGCCCGUCAGGACGUUCUCCGGAGGACCGGUCUCCACCACCAGCGGACCGGAUGCUCAGGAUUUCUAGCAGCUGACGGUACGGGGACCGGUCUGCUCCUUCAUGGAACGGUCCCCGAGAGUUCAAAAUCUGGGACUUAGCCAGAUUUCCGAUUUGCUCUUUCCGGGUCCCUUUUUGGCUCAUGUUAUGAACUCCAUGCAACUUAGGUGCCACUGAACUGUCAUUCCGCGUUCGCUCGUUUGACGGGAACUCGGCACGAUUUACGUAGGGAUGUGGUAUUAUACAGAGAGUCUUUCUCUUAUUUCUCCCUCACACACACUCUCUUCUCUCCCUCUCUCAUGUAUAGAAGGCAAAGUGAGAAGGAAGAAGAAAGAAAGAAAGGAGAAAAAGAACGGAAAGAAGGUGAAAAAGAAGAUCAAGAGGUGAAGAGUCUGUUUCUUCUCUCCUCUCUAGCUUGAAAAAGAGAAGGCUUACAAGGUAGAGCUUUGAACUUAUGCUAGGAAAACCCUAAAAUGGGUUGGAAUAAACCUAGAAUGGUUUUAUGGCUUAUUUUUAGAGUCUCUUGAAGCUUUCUUUUUGCUUCUAUUAGCAGAUCAACAUAGUUUAGCUUUGAGGUGGCUUUUGGCCACUUUAUGGGUGAAAUCCAAAACUAGGGGUGGAAUGAGUUAGAAUGGUUCUAAUGGACUCUUUAGAAGUCAUUAUGAAAGUACUUUUGUUCCUAAAUGAGAUCAAACCUAGGUUUUGUUAUGUAUUAGAGGCUAGGGCUCACCAAAUUAGGGCUUUUGUUCAUUGAGGGUUUCUAAAUGAAUGACCCUCAAAAAACAAUGGGGCGACCGAACGCCUUGGUGCGCCGGUGAAGUAUACGAAAAGACAAUACAAGAGUAUUGCAAAAUGGCUAAUAGGGCUUGUUUUGCCGCAGGUAAAGAACGAAAGGAUCCUAAAAAUCCAAGUAAAUUAUCGCGAGCACCUUUUGAAGCCCUACGGGUGGGGGUUCUUCUCAAACUUAUUGAAUUCUCUCUUAUGACUAAUGUGUCAUUCAAUUUGGAUGAAAUAUAUAUAUUAUGCAUGCAUUUUAGGUAAAGUUUUAUGAUGAAAAUGCGAUAAUGCAUGAUUGUGAGUACACUUGCAUAGAUAGUAUUUUUUGAAUUUCGAGAACUACUGUGAACGUCAAAAACUUUGUAUGCAUGACGAAAAAGUGAGCACCCAAAUGUGAGCAAAAGUACUGUGACCAUGACAUAGAUCAGAGUGGCAUUCGAUAGAAGUUAAAGUAAAGAUGAAAUGAAUGAUAUAGGGAGGUAAAGAAUCAAUGUAAUGUAAAGGAAUGAUGAAUAAUGACAAUGUUUAAAGUUAAAGUAAUGUGGGGGUAAAGAAACAUGAUAAGUGCUAAGUACCAAAAGUAAAGAAUGUAAGAAUAUGAUUGCUGAGUUAGCAAGAGUAAGAAAUGAAAAGAAUAAGGAAAUGCUAGAGAUAGCAAAGUAAAGAAUUGUAAAGAAUGUGUUUACAGAGUGAAAAAAAGUGAUGAAAGAACACUAGAGUAGUAUAAGUCAGAUUGAAUAGUAUAAAUCUUGAGUUAAGGUAUGAUCAUACUUUGUAUGAGUUCCUUUGCUCGAGGAGUGGUCGCUCCCCUCGGGCGAUGCGCUCCGGAGUAUGCAUCCAGGGUUGGAGUAAACCUGAAGGAUGGUCCUAGCAGGUUGAGUUCUGCCAUGAUGGACUUAAUGUGAAGCAAGGUCUGUGGCGAUACCCCGGGGUUAGCCUUGAGACUUAAGACAAGACGGUUAAGAACAAUGCUGCAAAGAACAAAGAACAAAGAACAAAGAAUUUGCGGUACUGCAUUUAUUUAAAUGUGAGCAUAUUCUGCUUUUGUUCAGGCAUAUUAGAUCAUGUUAUAGCGUUCGGGUACUGUUCAGCAUUUCUUUCUUUAUGGCCUGAGUUAGUUCCUAGUGGAAAGUCGGUGAGAUGAGGCCGAACCACUGGAACUUUGUUGUGUUUCACCCCCGUUCACAGAAGCCGCGACAGCGAGCGGCCGAUGCGGGCCGCCGGUAAAGCGUAUCGACCCCUAGUCAGAGGCACCAGAGUUGGUUUUACAUUGUUGCCUAGUAGAGUUUCCUAUGUUCAUCUUUUGUACUUGACUGAUAAAUAAUGUAAGCAAAAGAAUGGUAAAGUUUCAUUAUGAGCAAAUGUGAUUGUAAAAAGAAAUGAUGGAUGAUGUAAUAGAAAUGCCAAAGCUUGUUGAUGAAGUAACAGGAUUAAAGCAAUGGGGAAUUUAUUUUGAAUAAAAAAAAAAAAUGAAUCAUGUCUAGUGAAUGUUUAGUUCCUUUCUUUCUCACAUGGCUAUUGCUUACCCUGUGUAAGUCGUUUGGUGGUUAUUAUUUCGCUAGUGCUGUUUCUCUAUUGAUGAAAUGCUAAUGUGGAUGAGCCUUUGGGGGAUAGCGGAAACUCUGUCGUUCAAGGCACAAAUGUCUGUUUGACGUGCUCGGGUCGGGCCAAAUUGAUAUCGGUCCCGGGGCGUGACACAGAGUUUUUUCCUGUACGCGGACAGAGUUUCUCCCUGUAGAUUCAACGGCGUCGCAAUCAGAUAAAUAUUACAAAGUUCAACCAUGAACCAUUUCAAUCAAAGAUUGCUAAUGAAAGUAUCAAACCAACAUAACCAUCGUAUGUUAUUAAUGAAUUCAUUCAUUAUAUUUUGGACAUCACAAUUUCAUAUAUACAUUACACUAGCUUUCAACUUACUUCAAUACAUGCGAUUUACAUGAGAUUAUUACAAUUGAUUCUUUUCAUUCUUGUAAUCCCUAAGUAGGCCAACUCAGGGUACCGCUAUCUCUGGUUCGAUGGUAGGGCGCUAUCUAUGUGCUACGCCGCUCAACCUCGCGCGCCAACGCCGCUCACGUGUGAACUGUAACACCCCAAAAACAACGUGGGUGAGAACAAAAUCCAUGGUAUCCCAGUGGGUACGCGCACCAAGGGAAAGCUCGACCAAUAAGGUCCAAGGGAGGCAAUGCAAGUUAUUCAAUAAACAAUUAGAAUAUAUAUCUGUAUUAUGCCAACUAAUAAAACCAGCCUUGCUCGACGAAUGCAAUAAUGCCAUGUAUUAUACGAAUAUGCAACUAUCAAGUAGAAUAAAUGAUUUAACUUUCUAUCAUUCCUAUUCUUAGCUUUUCAUAAAUUUAUAUAUCUUGUCAUUUACAUCGUUGGUUAUUCUUCUAAGGUUUUCCUCUACUAGGGCCAGCUAACACCCGACUCGAGCUCCUCAAGUCAAUCAACUGCGGUAAUACCGCACCAAUACACAGGCUCGAGGGUAAAUGGACGUCUCACAUACACCUCAGCCCAAAUCACUCGCAGGAUACUAAUCUAUAGCUCAUAACGCUUUGCUGUAAUUACUGGGCUUUUACCAAUUGAUCGAGGCUUCACCCAGUUCUCCCUCGAACUCACCAACCAAAAAUCCCGUAAAGCAGGGGGUCGAACCACCCCUAUGGAACCGUUUCAGCGGUACCGUCACUCCCUGUGGUGUCGAUUUCCGGAAACACACCUGAGUGGGAGCGACGCCCCAAGUCAAGAUCUUCAAUGUGGAGUAUGAUCAAUUUUCCAAUUUGAAGGAUGUAUAGCCAUAGCCACAUGCACAAAUGCCACAUCAUAAUAGGUUUUCUACCUAUUUAUUCAUGCUUUGUUUCCUGUCUUAUGGUCAUUCUGUCUCAAUGCCACUCUUGUUAAACUAUGUUUUACGACUAUGUUUCUAUUGCCAAUUCAAUGUCUUAUUAUCAGUCACCUUUGUUCACUAAUGUUCAAAGGCAACUCUCACAUUCAACAAUUAAUAGGGCCUAACAUACAUGUCAUUAUGUUUCUACCUUUCUCUACUGUUCAACUUCGUGAGAAAACAUGUCAUUGAAAGCAACAGGUUCACAUGUACGUUCAGCUUAUAAUGAAUGGCCUACAAAAUUAUAUAUGCUCAAAAUGCCAGCAAGUGUUUUUUGAGGUUCAUGACACGUAGUGUUCACACUAUACUUGUUCAACCUUAUGUCAAGACACUAGGUUCAUAUAUCCAUGUUUAACUAUGUCCAUGACUCUUCGGUUUAUGUGCACUCGAUCUAAUGUAUUAGAUUGCAUAUUCACACUUCAUUUUCUUAAACAUUAGACCCAUGCUGCAUUUAUUAUUUCUAUAUUCAUGCUUAUAUACAAUUACUUAGCAUUAUCCACUAUGCAGUGCUUACAAAUGUCAUUAUGCAUUCCUUUAAGCAUUUCUUAUUAAUUUAACAUCCAUGAUGCCCUUUAUUUACGCACUUCAAACAUUAAUCACAUUGAAUUUGUAUCUAGACAUUUUAAUAUGUUAACAUUACUUCUUCACAUUUGCUUACAUUAUGUCAAUAUGCCAUUCCUUGUAGCAUUUUCAAUUAGUAUGUCAAUCAUGCAUCAGUAUUGAAUCUCAUUUGCUUAGACAAUACAGGCGACCUAGUCACUUCGAGUAGCACAACUCACCUCGAUUUUGCAUUCCGAUGGUUCUGUCGACACUUGCCAAUUCGGCCUCCGCUGGCAUCGCCACCCGGUUUGGCCUGAUCUCCUCGCGCGCCCCCUGAACGGCCUCCAAUCCAUGAUCUGGAAAUAUAAAGGUCUUCGGUUAUGCUGCACGAUACUUCAAAUCCAUUUUCAUGAAUUUACGAUAUCACCUCGGCUCAUCCAGGCGGAAACGAAGCUAACAUCCGCCUUUCUUUAAUAACUUUACAAUGGCUCUAACGAAAUCGCCGAACCGACUUCGCCAAAAAAACGCCGUUCGCUUACUAGAAUUAGGUUUCCAUAGGGGUCAAAAUAGAUCAAACCAUAUAUUUUUUACAAAACUCCAUCGGAGCCCUAACAUGCCAAUUUAACCUCUAAUUAAUCAAAUUAAAUAGUAGAGUAGCGCAUGUUUAGAAACACCUAGUACUAACAUAGAACAUUAUUCAGGGAAAGGAUUUAACAAAAUCCCAAAACUGCUUACAAAAAUGUGAAUUUUUUGAAAACACGCCGCGUCCAACGACGCGACGAAAGCUCGAUCCGUCGCCUCUAACGCGUUCGCAAGCUCUUCUCCACCAACCUCAAUGUUCUAGAGAGGAACUUUGAGAGAUGAGAGGAUAUCUAGAGAGAGGUAGAGGUGGUUUCUCUCUCUCGUAUACUCAUGAGUGUGAUGGAUGUGUGUGUGCAUGGGUGUGUGCGGGCUGAAGGAGGGAAGAAGAAGCAACAUUGCUUCUUAUACAUUAACCCCAAACACUAUUCACUUCAGCGUUUUUUGCAAAGUUCGGAACGUUGGAGCCUUUGAAUGUACCGUUUGAGGCCUCAAAUUUGGCAGGCUAGGCUCGGUUUUAGUAUCUGAGUAAGUUAUAUUUUAAGUUUUCAGUUUUGGACCUCAUUUGGUUCACCAAAACUGUGCGAAUGUAAUCUUUAUCAGACUACUCUCGGAUUUUAUUUUCACUCUACGGGUGUUAGAAAAAUUGAAACUUUAAAUCUAGCUUCAUAAAAAUAUUGGUCUGACUUAUUCUCCAAUUUUUAUAAUUUUUUGAGACUGUGAUUUUCUGCAAAUUUAUCUGCCCCGUUCCAACAAGAAAUUCUAGAAUGCUUCUGUUUUUCAUUCGAUUUCAGCACAAGUCAUUUCUGACUUUAUGUUUUAUUCUAUAAAUCCAAUAAAAAUAGCUCUCACAUAUUUUUAUUUUAUUUUUUUUUAUAUCAAAUCUGAGUAUGUUACAUCUACACCCCUUAAAAGAAUUUUCGUCCGCGAAUUGCAAACCACGUUCAAUCCAGUUCAGCGGAGGCAAUGAGGUACCAACUCUGUUCUCCCACUCCAGAGCAGCGUUCACACUAUCGUUUGUUCGAGAAAGCUGGCUCAUACUGAAGACGUGGGUUUAAUCCUAAAUCAUGUUUGCAAGUUGUGAUACAAACGUGCAUCACGGGUCUUGGCAAGUACAUAGUGGCCAGCGCAAGUCCGGUAACUCCGACGAUCUCUCACUGCCGUCAACACCACUCGCCAUUCGGUGCACAAAGAACUCUUCUUUGCACUUUACCGUUCCUUUCAGGAAUAAUUUUGAUUCGAAUAGCGACAUUGCUUAGGAGCAAUGAUCACCGAUGCAUCGCUUCGCAUGAGUGCUCUAAUUUGCACUGACCCUUAACUUUAACGCCGAGAUGGCCCACUUCGGCACUCAUCAAGGUUCUCAGUGUUCGCUUAGUGAGAGUAGUCGUCCAACAUCACGCUGACUUUCACUAGAUUGAUGCUCACAAGGAGUACUUCAUCAUUGAUACACAUUGCCAACGAUCAGACAUCAAACUAUUUCGAACGAGCUCUGCGAGCAAUCCGUUCGUGAAUUCGAGUCAACUCCUCGAUAAGACCUAUCUGCCGAAAUCGCUCAUCGUCGGGCUUCCAUAGGUUAGACCAAAGGCACCAAUCGCUACGUAAGGGCUACCGUCUAAAUUGUUCAACAGAUAGCGUCUCUGCGUCGCAAAUGCGUAAGACCCAACAUAAGGCGGGAAAUUCUCACUUGCGUCGAAUUACGCACACACUCCAACAGGAGCAACUAGAUCCAAAAAAAAAAAAAAAAUCCACGUCAAUGUACUCGGGUUGAUGGUCACAAACAUACUCGGUGUUAUCAUCAGUCACACAAUCAUAUCGCGUGGCAUUCACGUUCCCGGGCUAAACUCGGAUACCGUCUGACCAGAAUUACGCCCUACCCGUAGGUACCGGGCCGCUGUCACUCAACAGAGCUGACCUGCGCUCCAAAGGGCAGUGCUAUAGUCACAAAUGUCCAGGAACGGGUUAUCCCAAGCAUACCCUACGUCGUCCCACACGACAUGCUCUCGAAGUCACAGUAUCAGCUACCGGCUACUUAGGCACCUAAUGUGAGUCACUAGUCCACGAGUGAUCCAUGGCAUGCUUCACACUAGCCAAUGAUAUUCAAGUGCUACUGCCAAGACAGCUCUCGCUGCAAAUCCACAUCCGCACUCUAUGGCGUUAUGACACUCGAAGGGGGGUGCUCUACCGCCUCAUAGCGUUCCACACUAAGUCCUACAUUAGCGCAAUCUGGCUAUGCACACGCGCACAGAGCACAACCGGCCUACUCUUCUUAAGGGUACCACUAGGGCCCACGUGCUGCAAACAUGGCCACUAAUCGCAUUGUUCUAUCAACAAUGAUUGUUACUUUCACUGUUCAAUCUACGCGGAAUGACAUCGAAAUAUCGGGCCCACUCGGGUGUUCUCAUAGCAUAUUGGCUAACUCUCGCAAUUUACAACUCAUAUGUGGCUCUGAGAGUCGUUUCGCACUUCUAUUCUCUACCGGAGUCUCACUUGCUCGCCAUAGAUACUUUAGCAAUUCGCUGUGUUUGCCAUCUUGGCUCUAUACCGUGAUUGGCAGGUCACUACGCCUUACAAACACGAAGCAUGCCGGGUAUCUAUACUGACCCGGUCACCGAUCUUACUAUGCCGCAUGCUGACAAUAGUAAUUAACACAUAAACCCAUUUUGCAUGCAAUGGCAUCACUCCGAUCAUGCAAAACAUUAUGCUUGCAUCAAUAACUCAUACUUGCAACGACGUCGUCGAGCAGCCAAGGUUCCUCAACCAGCGGUCGCGUAUUCUACGACCACCAGCGUUCGCCACUGCGAACCCUAGUAGUUGCAUUGUCCUCAACGCCUCUCGUUCUCACACGCUGUGGGGGUUGAGGGAUAGGAUAUAAACAUGUUGCAUUUGCAAAUAGGCCCUCCCACUUUCUAUCCAAUGUCACUGUCAGAACCCGCCACCAACCCGCCUAUUUGGCCGGGUCGCGCGCCACGACAGACCGCCCGGAACGGACAGCAGUCUCCCCUGUACGUCUAGGCCGUCGCAAUCAAUACAAAUACAAGGAAGUUCCAACUAGGAACAGUUAUUCAAAUAAGAUUGCAUAAGGAAGGUAUCAAACAGCAUAAACACAUUUCCUAGUGUUGAUUACAAAGCAUUCCUUAGAUUUAUUUUUACAUCACAUUUGCAUUAUUACAUUACAUGUUCUUCAAAUACUGAAUCAAGGAUCACAAGAUUUAUUACAAGUUUGGCUCUUUUUUUUCUUUUCCCAUCUACCCUAGGCCUAUGCGUCGGUACUCUAUCUCUGGUUCUUGGUGGAGGCGUUAUCUAUGGAGCUACGCAUCGCCUUGCUGCCGCCGCGCCAUUGCACGGGCGAACCUGUAACACCCAACAACGUGGCGGUGAAGAACCAACUCCAUGGUUCCCGUGGCACGGGCACCCAAGGGGAAAAGGCUCGACAAUAGGUACUAAGGCAGGCCUGCCAACAUGUUAGUUCAACAGAUAUCAAAGAUUAUUAUAUUCAAGAAUUGAAUACAUGUUGUGCCUGCACAAUUAUGCAAUAUGAAAUCAUUCAGUUAUACAACCAUGCAACCAAACUAGUAGUUCAAGUCGUACUAUUUUAUCCAUGUUCAUUCACAGUUCAAUUAUAUUACUUCUAAGUUUCCCUAUCUUAGAUUCCUGGUCAUUACAGAUUCUAGUCGUAGGGUUGAACCUGCUUUUAUUAGUAUCCACUCGACUCGGUCUUGAGUCAAUUUCACACGCGGAUACCGAUACAAAGCCAAGGUCAAGGUGAAGGAUGUUCACAAUGCACUUCAGCCCUAAAUCCCACUUCAAACUGGGAUGCAACUAAAAAUCAUGUAAUGCAUCAAAUAGUAAAGGUUUACUAUAUGCUAACGAAUUCGAUCAUGUUCGAAGAAUAAUGUAUUCAAUGACAUUGUUCACUAUUCUUUACACCACUGUAUGUGAAGCCCUAGGGUUCGCCAAUAACUCACCUUUCAAUCCCAAAGUGCGGAGAGGAGCUCAAGUGCACCAAGCCGAGACCGGUGUUGCGGACCUUCCAUGUUGCGUCAGACCUCAAGUGGUCCUGUAGUUCGCGCGACACUCCGGCAACUCGCACGACAAUCCGUCCAUAUGGGGAUAUGGAUGGCCUAUACACCCCAAAAGCAGACUGGGGAGCUAGAUCGAUCCUCACCAAUGAGGAUACCUCACAACUAUGGGUCAACAACCCAAUCAAAUCAUCUCCAAGGAGUGUUAUGCUCUACAACUAGAGGUCAACGACCCAAUCAAAUCCUCUCCCAAGUGAGGUGCCUACAACUAGGGCCAACAUCUCAAUAAAUUAUCGACAACCUCUCUCAUGUGAGUACUUAGGUUUACUAAGCUUCUUUAUCCACAGGCAUUUUCACGGGAUUCACCUAUCCCUAGUUCUCAACCUCUAGUGUCAAAUACACUCAUUAAUGCCUCGAUUGUGUUUUGUUUUCCAAUGUCAAUUUCUCUAAUCGACAGUUCACCUGCAUAUUCUCUACUAUAUUCAUAAUUUGGCACAUGUUAUAAUUCUUCUAUUCAUAUAUAUGCAAUAUAUGUCAUCAUGUAUAUGUUUCUAUUUAACAUAAUCCACAAUAUGUUAAUUCACAACAUGUCAUCAUGCACAUAUAUUACUAGCAUCAUAUGAUAUGUCAACAUACAUAUAAUCAUCAUCCAAAGUAGUCUAUACUUAGCAUCUCAUGCAUUCUUUUAGCAUUUAAUUCAUUAUACAUUUCAUCUCAUUGGUAGGUAAUAUCAACUACAUAAUAUGUUUCAAGCAUUCAUAUUAUCAUGUAAGCCUACAAAUACAACUAUAUGCAUCAAUGUGAAUUCGUAUGUUUCUUAAACAUAAAGGGCGACCUAGUCGCUUCGGUAAGCACAACCCACCUCAAAUCGCUUUCCGAUUGCUUGUCGACACUUGCAAUCGGCCUCCCGCGGCACCCGGCACCCGGUUUGGCCCGAUCUCUCGCGCGACCACCCGAACGGCCUCCAAUUCACGAUCUGGAAAUUAAAGGUCUUCGGUUAUGUGCCACGAUACUUCAAAUCUGUUUUCAUGGGUUUACGAUAUCGCCUCGACCCUCCAGGCGGAAACAAAACCUAAACGUCCAUUUCUUUAAUAACUUCGUAACAGCUCGACGAAUCGCCGGACCGACUUCGCCAACGCGUUCGUUUACCUAGCAAUUAGGUUUACAUAGGGUCAAAAUAGAUCAAACCCAUAUAUUUUACAAAACCCCAUUCGGAGCCCUAACAUGCAAUUAACCUCUAAAUAAUCCAAAUUAAAUAUAGCAACAUACUAACAAUGCUCAUUAGAGGCUAUUAGAACACUUAAAGCUAAGGAUUAAGCCAAAUCCCAAAAGCUUACCACAAUGUGAACGCCGCGACGAAAACACGUCGCUCCAACGGACGCACGAAAGCUCGAUCGGUCGCCUCCAACGCGUUCGCAAGCAUCUUCUCCACCAACCCCGCGAAUUUGAGCGAGAGAUAUAGAGAAAUGAGAUAGAAAUCUAGAGAGAGAAAGGAGCUUUCUCUCUCUCUCUCACCAUGCGCACGAGAGGGUGGUGGGGUGCUGGUCGGUUGGGGAAGAAGAAGCAAUAUCUUCUUUUAAUUACACUCCAAAACACUAUUCAUUCCAGGCAGUUUUAGCAGGAAUAGUUGGAGCCCUUCUGAAUGUUCGUUUGAGCUCAAAUUUGACAGGCAGGCUUAGUUUAACGUACUGAGUAAGAAUAUAUCUUAAGUUUUCAGUUUCGACCCCGUUUGGUCACUGAAAACUGUACCGAACUGUAAUCUUUAUCAGAUAGCUGUCGGAUUUUAUUUCUCACUCCACGGGUGUCAGAAAAAUAUGAAACUUUAAAUCUAACCUUAUAAAAAUAUUUCUGACUUAUCCUCCAAUUUUCAUAAUUUUCUGAGACUGUACAUUUUCUGCUAAUUUAUCUGUCCUGUUUCCAAUAGAAAAUUCUAGAUCUUCUGUUUUCAUUCCGAUUUCAGCACAAGUCACUUCUGACUUAUGUUUUACUCCUCUAAAUCCAAUAAAAAUAUUAUCUGACACUAUUUUUAUUUAUUUUUAUUUUUAUAUUUAAAAUCCUGUAUAUUACAUUCCACCGCAACCUCACCGAAACCAUUCAAAUGGCUUUCAAACCAAAUGUACACCGUAACUUCAUAAUUUUAGAAGUCCGGUACCUUACAUCCUCCCCUCCUUAAAAGAGUUUCGUUCUCAAAACUAUCCCACUUCAAUUCCAAUUCAUACCCCAACUCAACUUAUCAAAUAGUCGAGGGUUCCAAUGCACUUUUGCAUUUCGGAGUGGCCUUUCACUCAUCGGAACUAUCCAAAGGCUCACUACGGAGGAUGUGAGACUAGAUUCAUUCACAUUUGCCACGUGCAGCUCCAAAAGUGCAUUACCACCAUGCAAAGAACUACUCUUGCAUUAUACACCCAAUCGAAAAAUUUCACUCUGAUUCGAUCACCUACAUUGCUUAGAAGCAAUAUCGUUGGUGACUCGACCAAUCGCGAGUGGUUCAUCACAACCGGAUCCUUGCUCUAUCACGAGAUGGCCCACUCCGGCACAUCUCCAAUCUCAAUCCAUAAAAGAGCAUUGUCCUCAAGCUCCAAUUCCCACAUGGCUAUCCACAUCUCAAUGUCGCACAAGAGCACUUCGCCCUCGAUAUCAUAAGCCACGACCAACUCUACUUCGCUCUUGCGACAAAUCCACACGAACCCUCCGUUCGUAAAUCUAAGCCAAGCUCACAAAUAGAGUUAUCGGCUAAACCGAUUACGUCGGUUUCCAUCGGUGGACCAACGGUCACCCGUCCUACGUAGGUUUAUCGCCUAAACCUCUCACAACUACGCAUAGCGUCCCUCGCUCACCAGCGUAGACCAAAUCAUAAUCAGGCAAAGUUCUCAUUGGAGAAUUCGCACACACUCCAAUCAGGAGCAACCGUGACCCCAAACCACCUCAAAUCCUCGAGUUGGGUCACUACACACACGGUGUAUCCUCGAUCUUAUGAUCCAAUACGUGGCAUUCCACGCUCCUGGGUCUAAGCUCGGACUACCGUCCUGACCGAAUCUCUGCCCUACCCGUAGGUACCGGGCCGCUGUCUCUCACAGCUGACUGCGCCUGCCCAAAUGGCCCAGGCUCCACAGUCCACAAAUGGUCGAGGCAUGGGUCGUCCCCAAGCACUGCCCGCCGUCGUCGUCCUACACGACAUACUCUACCGAGUCACACGUACCAAUAUCGGCUCCUAUGCACCUAGUGCGAGUCACCAGUCCCACGAGUGAUCCAUGUCACGCUUCACACCUAACAAUGCUCAAGUGCUACUGCCAAUACACUCACUCGGUGGAAUCCACAUCCGCACUCUACGGGUAUCUACACUCGAGCGCUCUACGCCUCUACAACGUUCCACACGAAGUCCAGCAUUAGGCAAUCUUGCCUAUGCACACCGGCUGCACGAGAGCAACCGCCUACCUCACCUUGAGGUACUACUAGGCCCACGUGCUCAAACUUGGCCACUAACCGACCGUUCUCUCAACAGUGAUGCUUCUUUCACUGUUCAAUCUAUCGGAAUUACAUCCGAAAUUUUCGGACUACUCGGGUGUUCUCAUAAGCAUCAUGGCUCAACUCUCGCAAUUUACUACUCAUAUUGCUCUGAGAGUCGUUUCGCCACUUCUAUCUCUACCGCGAGUCUCACUUCUCGCUAUAGAUUACUUCUAGCACUUCACUAGUGCCAUCUGGCUCUAUACCUGUACUGGCAGGUACUACGCCAUCGGAUAACACAAAACUCCAUUUCUAGAGCAAUCAAACCUAUCUCUAGAAAUCCACCAUGAGAGAGAGCUUAGAAGCUUACCUCUUCGAGAAGCUCCAACCAAGGAGAAGAUGAAGGAGAUGAGGAAGACCACCUUCUCCAUCUCUUUCUUUUCUUUUCUUUCUUCUUCCUCUUCUUAUCUUCUAGAGAGAGAAGGAGAGAUAUGAGAGGGUGUGUGGGUGAGAAAUGAGAGAAAAGAGCUCUCAUACCCCUCACAUAGCCCCACAUGUUGCAUAAGUGCAACUAAGCCCCUCAACUUUUAUCCUUGUGCACUGUAACAAACUGGACCUUUGCAAAUUGCGAGGUUCCAGUGUUUUGGGUGUGUUCUGAGCUUUUCCAGAUUUUCUGGUGGGUCGUUGACUGUGUUCCGACCUAUGGCACGUGUCCCGAGAAUUGUGGUUUAAAGCCUUGCACCAAAACCCGAAAAAACGGGAUUUGGCUGACUCUCAGAUUUCAUUCUGCCGGGCUUGUACCGGUACAGGGCUGAUGGCUGUACCGGUACAAGGUUGAUGGUUGUACCGGUACAGCCACUGGCUUGUACCGGUACAGAGCUGCUGAACCCCGCGACCAGAGCCUCGGGUUGGCAUUUUCGUGGCUCUUGCACCGGUACAAGAGCCGGUGUACCGGUAUAAGGGGACUGAUUUCGCACAGUUUGAUCUGCAGGGGUGUUUUUGCUUUUGUAGCUCUUCUAUUAGAACCCCCCCCACGCCUCUAGGGCAUUUUUCUGAGCUGAGAGCAUAGGGAGACAAGGUAAGAGAAGUCCUCCCUUGCCUCUUUGGAUUUGAUCUCCAUUUUGCAUGGUUUUUAAUGGAUUUUUUUCUUCUCUUUUGCCCUUUGGUGCCUUUUCCACCAUGGAUGAAGCUUGGAAACUUGGGUUUGGAGCUUGGUGGAGGGAAGAUCCUAGAAGUUUGUGGACUUUGAGCUUGUUUUGAAGCUUCUAAGAGGUAAGUGGCAAGAUCCUUUCCUCUAGUUUUGGAUUUUAGAGCUUUCUUUGAGAUGAAACCCUAGAUUUGGAACUUAGGGUUUAUUUUUUGGGCAUUUUCAUUCUAGGGCUUUUGAGGCUAGAUUGAUUGGUUUAGAACCUUCCUUGGGCUUGGAUUGGAAGGGUUCUAGCUCUUCUUUGGAGCUUAGGAGAGAAUUUUUACUCUUGUGGUGAGUUUUGCCCCUUUUGCUUCUAGGUUAAUGAUUGAGCUUUUUACUCUUCGUAUCGUUUGGGUAACCCCAUUUUUGAUGUUUCUAUGGUGCUAGGAAGCUAGUGGAUACCUCCGUUGGAGCAAACGAAAAGCUUCGUUGUCGUCGGUGGGUUUGACCUAGCCUAUGAUAUGAGAAAUCCUCAUAUUUGGUGAUAAGUGCUUCGUAUACAAAAAAUUCAUGCAUUUCCAUGCUAGAUACAUUUAUUGUGAAUUUUAGGAUGCUUAACAUACCUAUGUUAUGUACAAUGAAAUUUUGGACCUCUGUAUAGUAGAAAAUUAGCUGGUGGAACUUGUACAUGUUCGGCACCCUAUUGAGACUCGGAAUUCUAAUUCCUAAUGUGAAAAUGAGCAUCUCAUGCAUGCAUUUAGAGUUACUCCUAUUUGAGACUUAAGGGUUCUUGGAAGCCAUACAGAGGCUCGGGGACUUGUACUACUUAUGAAUAAUUGGGCUAAUGUCAUGAAGGGGCAUUGAGCUCGGGUUAUGUGUGAACCUAGUGGAUAGUGCCACUGAGAGAGUUGGAUAUGCUUGUACAUCCAAAUGUCUAAGUGUCAUAAAGGGGCACUAGACUUAGUAAAUAUGAGAAUUUCACAUUGUGACAUAGAACUAGAUCUUUGAGAUGCUAGUGAUUAUUGCCAUGUUAGAGACAUGAUGAUUGGAUAUUUGAGACAUUGACCUUGCUUGUUUGCCAUUUGUGCUCAUUCGCACAUGCUUGUGAGGGUCGCUCCCUACAAGCCGGCACUCCGGAGUCAGCCUACACGACUAUGUUCGCUCGUGCGGUAUUGAGAAGCCUACGGGGUCGAGUGGGACAGACACAUUCCAAGAGUAGGGAUGUUGGGCUACCACAGGCACUUAGGCGGCACAAGCUGGACUACCCUUGGUAGGUCCUUAAUUGGAAAUGGAAAUCGACACGGGAUGAGUUUGUUAUAAUCACUACUAGAUAGAGAGUAGUAGUUGGAUUACUCGGACUUGCUUCUAGCAUAGAUUUGGACAUUUGGGUAUACAUACAUACAUGUAGUAUGCUAGGAGACAUUGCUUAUUUGCAUUCAUAUAUACAAUGUUGCUAUGAUAAAGGAUAAUCCUCAUAAUUUCAUUAAGUAAACCAUGACAUUAUUUAUGGCUAAGUAGAGACAUAUCCUUCAUGACAAGAUAAUUGUGCAUUACAUAAAUGCCAUGUUUAAUUGCAAGUAAUAGUUUAGCAUUUUCUUUAUGCUUUCAUAAAUGCAAAUUAUUUGUUAUUACUAUUGCUUUCGACUUACCCUUUCUUUUGGGGCCUAGUGGUGCAUUGAGCUGAGGUCAGUAAUUGCCCACUGGGAACUAUAAAUUAUAGUUCUCACGCCCUCUGUUUUAUGUUUUCUUUCAGAGCCUUCCACGCAGGGUGAGGCCAGGGAUCGCGGAAAGGGUAUCGCCUCGGGCUAGCGUGCUUGCCGAGGGAUCGUUGGACAGGUGGUCUACCUCUCUUGGAUUUUCUUUUUGUGAGAGGUUGAGAGUUUCACCCGUGUACUAGAGACCACCAUUUUUGUACUAGAGACAGUCAUUGUAUUACUUUAUGCUUUACUUUUAUGAUUAGUAUGUUUCCUUUAUUCUUGUUUUAGAAGAAUAGAACUUUACUCGCUCUGAUAUCAUUAGUUGUUGUAUUUCUUGCUUUUACUUCCACUUUUAUUGUAGACGCCUUAUAUGUGUGACAUAUGGCAGGUCUGAGCGUGCUACCGGGAGGGCCCCUGCCGGUCCAGGGGCGUGACGUGUACAGCCCUCACUGGGCAUUCUGCGCCCAGAGGGAGCGGUCCCUCGUUGGGGAGACCGGUCCCCGAGAGCCCUCCCCGCGGCCUGGGGACCUUUCGCGUACUGGAACCGGUCCCCACCCGAGAGACCGGUCCCUGGGAGACCGGUCCUUCCUGGGAGACCGGUCCCCGAGAGCUGAAUUUCCAGGACUUAGCCUUUCUUUGCCCUUCUCUCACUGGUGUCGCAUACGGGGACCGGUCCCCUCAGCCAGUGUAACAUACCACAUCCCUCGUAAGUCGUGCCGAGUUCCGUCAAAACGAGCGGAACGCGGAAUUGAACGAGUUACAGUGGACCCUAAGUGCAUUGGAGUUCAUAAAUGGAGCAAAAAGGGACCCGGAGAGCAAAUCUGGAAAUCUGGCUAAGUCCCAGAUUUUGAGCUCUCGGGGACCGGUCCCUGAAGGAGAGACCGGUCCCCGUACGCGUAGCCUGCCAGGAAAUCCUGAGGCAUCCGGUCCCUGGUGGUGAGACCGGUCCUCGGGAGACCGGUCCCUGACGGGCAGACCGGUCCCUCGCUGCGCAACAGCCGAAAAACUCNNNNNNNNNNNNNNNNNNNNNNNNNNNNNNNNNNNNNNNNNNNNNNNNNNNNNNNNNNNNNNNNNNNNNNNNNNNNNNNNNNNNNNNNNNNNNNNNNNNNAGUGUUGUAAUAUUUUAAAAAAAUUGUCGCUAAAUAAUAGCGACAGUUUGAAACUGCCACUAUAUUAAAUAGCGACUGCUUUAUAAGCGACAGUUGUAAAACCGCCGCUACAACUGCCGCUAUGAAUUAUAGCGACAAUUUUUUUACUUUUAGUGACAGUUUUAUAAUUGCCACUAUAUGCCAUAUUUAUUGUAGUGAUUUACCAAUGGCCGAAUUCGCCUACAACAACAGUUAUCAUUCUAGUGUGGAGAUGGCACCAUUCGAGGCUCUUUAUGGGCGGAAGUGCCGAUUUCCCAUUUAUUGGAGUGAUGUGGGCGAGCGCACAGAAUUUGGCCCCGAGGUAUUGCGGGAGGCGGAAGAAAAAGUUCGCCUUGCUCGCAAACGGCUACUUACGGCGCAGUCUCGACAACAAAGCUAUGCGGAUAGGCGCCGACGAGAUUUGGAGUUCGCGGUGGGUGACCACGUCUUCUUGAAGGUCUCGCCGAUGAGGGGCGUUAGACGAUUUGGAGUUCGGGGCAAGCUAAGUCCCCGAUACAUUGGCCCAUAUGAGAUUUUGGAGCGGAUUGGGACGGUGGCUUAUCGACUCGCGUUACCGCCAAAGCUUGCGGAUGUACACAACGUAUUCCACGUCUCCAAUCUCCGCAAAUAUAUACCCGAUCCCGAGCACGCAAUGUUGUAUGAACCGCCGGAGCUUCAGGAAGAUCUAAGUUACGAGGAGUUUCCGGUGGCAAUUACCGCUCGUGAAGUGCGUAAGUUAAGGAAUCGAGAAAUUCCUUAUGUUCGAGUCCGGUGGAGCAAUCACGACGAUCGCGAAGCCACCUGGGAGCUCGAGGAGGAGAUGAAAGCGAAUCAUCCUCGCCUGUUUAAGGAGUGAUCAAGGUAUGAGCCCGGAAUUUAAGAUUCUAAGUAGAUGGUGAAGUAUUGAGUUCGUUUCGAGGACGAAACUCCUUUAAGGUGGGGAGGAUGUGAGGAAGUGAAUUCUCGAAAUACGAGGAUUGGACUUCGACUGGAAUCGACUAGUUGUCGAUUGUGUAAGCUUCGGAAAGUCCGAAGGUGAUUAUAAUGCAUAAAGUGCAUUAAAGAAAGGUCCGCGAGAGCACCAGUGCAAAAAUCUGCACUGGAGCAGAAAUGCUCUCGGGGACCAGUCCCUGGCAGGGAGGGACCGGUCCCAUCAGGCUCGGCUGCGGGGGUCUCUGAUGAGACCGGUCCCUGGUAGUGAGGGACCGGUUCCCGAACGUUGGCCCAGCGAGAUUAGCCGAAAUUUGGCUAAGUCCCGAGAAUCCAGCUCGGGAACCGGUCUCCCGGGGACCGGUCUCUCAGGCAAGGACCGGUUCCCGAACGCGAAAUUCUUCUGCCCGAGAUGGAGAGCUCUCGGGGACCGGUCUCCCCGACCUAGGACUGGUCCCUCGCUGCGAAAACAACCCAGUAAGGGCUGUGUAUUAGAUGGAAAGUUGAGGGGCCUAUUUGUAAAAUGGCCUUUAUUAGAGGUGGGGGACCCCUCUCUCUCCCUCUCAGUUGCUCUCUCUCUCUCUCACUUCCUCUUUGCUCUCUCUCUCUAGAAAGAAAAGAAAGAGAAGAAGAAGGAGAAGAAGAAGAAGAAGAAGGAAAAGGAAAAGAAGAAGGAGAGGAAGGUGGAGAAGGAGAAGGCUAAGAAGAAGAAGAAGAUAUCUUCUUCUCUCCCUCUCUCAAGCUUGGAGCUUGGACUUUUGAGGUAAGCCUCAAACCUAUAAUGGUGGAUUUGUAAACUAGGGUUUUAUGGUUUAGAAAUGGUUCGAAUGAAACCUAGAGAAGAUAAGUAGAUGGUUCGGGCUCACAAUCGAAGCUCGCACCGCGGAUUUCUUCCCCGUUGCCAUUCUAGGGCACGGAAUUGGGAUUUUGGAAAUCUAGGGUUUUGAUCUAUUUUGAGUGGUCAGAAACCUAAUUGCCAUGUCUCCGAACGCGUAGGAAGCGACGGUUCGUCGAUUCGUUGAGCGGGUGCGACGUUCCGGCUGAAACAAGUGCUAGAAGGUCUAUUUUGGCCGAGGAGCCGAGGCGACGUGCGAAGACCGCAAAGUCAAGCUUGCUAACCUUGCGGCGUUAUCAAAAGGUGGGUGGUGUCCAUCCCGAAGCAACCGGGCCCCCUUCUAUGUCUUAGUACAUUUCGAUUCUUGCAUCUUGUGUUGUUGCAUUAUAGGAUGAUUGUGCAUUGCCUUUCCUUAUGCUUUCCUUGAUGAUAUCGUAGCAUGUAUGGGAUACUUGAUAUAGUGGAUUGAUAAGGAUUGGGUCGAGACUUGUGAAUCCUAUAGUGCAGAGAAAAAGAUGGGCUCAAUGGUUGAUUUAAUGUUAAACAAAGAACGAGUGGCAUCUAGUUGAUAGUAAACCAUGAACGAGUGGCAUUUAGUUGAUAAUAAGCAAAAGAACAAUGAGUCGUAGAGUAUAUGAAACCUACGGACUAUAUGAUGAUUGUAACCCCUAAAGGAUAGGGUAUUCUCGAGACGAGGAUUGGAUCAUGCUCACGGUCUGUUUUUAAAUCUUGUGAUGGAAGCCCCACACAAGUAGUGCGCUCCGGAGUUGGUCACGUGGGAUCGCCUAUUUUGGGUCCCAAGGGAUCGCCUAUUUUGGGUCCCGGCAGACGGUCUCGGUUCGUAGUGCGAGUUGACCCUCCCUACCUUCGAGAUGGCUAGUGAGCAGUAGGCUCCUUCAGGGAAGCCACGAGAUUAAGAAACAAGUAAAUGAGAAUCGAUGAACGAGUAAAUAGCUUUACCUUUGGACAUGAAAUAGAAUGGGUUAGUUUGUUUAGCUUAUUUUCAUUGUUACAUGCAUCUAGUAAUAUUUAAGAUUAGGCAUAGUUAGGUGUAUGCUUUACUGUCUGUCAUUCUACCGCUUUCCUUUAUCUAUCUAAUCUAUCGUUAUCUACUUUUGCCCGCUUGGACCUUAGUGGGAGAUCGACGGAGUCCGGCGUCCCGGAACCCACUGCGAACUAAGGAAAGGUUUAGUUCUCACCCCAUUUUAUAACUACGAGGGCGGCCGAGCGAGAGUUCACACGGUUGAGGAUCCGCGUAAGGGCCUACGCCCUGUUGCAUUAGCCUAUUACGCUUCCUUUUUGCAUUAGAGCACCCGUUGUAUCUUGAAGAGUAGAUAGAUGUUAUAGGGUGUGAGGUUUUUCAUUUUGCGAAAUGGUAGCCCUUAUGUUUUAUAUUUUUGGAAGUUUAAAUGUAAAGUAAACUGCGUUGAUUGAUAUGAAUGUAAUUAGAUAGACUCUCUCUCUUUAUCGUUUAGCUUGUACUGCUUCAUACUUGUACUAUGCUCUUUAGUUGUUUUAGCAUAUUUCGUGGCUCUGUUGUUGUUCUGUGUGAUCAUGUUAUGUAUUUCAAGUGAUUUUCCUGGGAACAUUGUUUGUACUAUGAUCUCGCUGUUGCCUUGGGGCGGACAGGGGCAAGGUCCCCUGUCCGUUCGGCGUCUGUCCCGAACCGCGACCCGAAACCUGUACCAAAUUGGUGCGUCUCGGGGCGUGACACUCACAGUGGUUCUCACUGUGAGAAGCCACUGUGAGCCGUUCCCACACUGAGAAGCCACCACCCCACCCCUUGUGAAGAAAGACUCUGUAGCCUUCCUCACAUGAGAAGCCUUCCACUGCCCCUCCCCCACACCAAACUCUCUGGCAAACCCCCGCACCCCCCUUUUUCCUGAUUGGUUCUCUGUUCCUUUGUCACGGUUAUUCCGCGUUCUUAAUGCCAAAGUAGUCGCGCCGCGACCGUGCUUGUACAAUGGGUAAUACCAUCUUUUUCCCUCCUUUUGUUGUAUGUUAGAAUGUUGAUAUGUCUUGAGUUUAAUAAUUUUUACAUGUUAAUAUAUUAACUUUUAGCUCUAUAUCUGGCAACAUUGUUCCUUUCUAUAUCCAUUUGGACGGAAAUUUUUCGCAGAACAAUAAUGUACCACGAGUAUAAUUUGGUGGCUAAAGAAUUGGUUUGCGGUCCCGACGCCAAAAAAUAUCUUCAUUUGGAUUUAGAGAUGGCAAACUAAUUACAAUUGUGUACUAAUUAUGAUCAAGUGGAGACCGUUCUACGCCAUCACGGUUUGAAAUGCUUCCCUCCAAUGGGAGGCGAAUGGGAAUUUGUUAACGUAUCAAAUGACAAUACACUAUCUGGCGUGAUGAGUAUAUUUCCGUUCCAUGGAUGUAUAAAAUUAUACGUGGAGAAAGAUAGGUUGACGGCACACGACCGUCCAAAUACCGUUUAUCAAACGGAAAUGUGUCGUACCCGCAAUGAUCAAAGAAAUUACGUCAAUCGCGAACGAGGUCGUACAUCAAGGUAUAAAGUAAUGAUCUUUAUAAUCUUUUUCGUGAUUUCUCAAUUAGUUUAGGUGCGCGAAAUUAAUAACUUUGUCUUGUAAGUGUUUCAGAGAGUUUGGAGUUCCAUCUCAGCCAGUUAGUGCAGCAUUGCCAUCUGCUGUGAUGGAUUCGUCUCCGUUGGUUGAUCAAAAUGAGUGGUAGGUGAUUGUAUGAUUUAGUUACGUAAUAAAUCAAUGUGAAUAGUUAAUCUUAUAUAUCUCUCUACAGGUCUACUGCCCCUCCUUAUCAAAGUCCACGACCAUCAUCUUAUGUUCACGGAUGGACGGAUUGGGAAGUCAGAACCACUAUCCCUCCUUAUCAAAAUGAAGGUCCAUCAUGUGGUGUUCAUCAAUGGCCGGCUUGGGAAGUAAGAAAUACUAGCCCUCCCUAUGUAGAUGAAGGUCCAGGAUCAUCUAGUGUUCAUGAAUGGCCGGCUUGGGAAGUAAGAAAUACUAACCCUCCUUAUGUAGAUGAAGGUCCAGGACCAUCUAGUGUUCAUCAAUGGUCGGCUUGGCCAGUAAGAAAUACUAUCCCUCCUUAUCAAAAUGAAGAUCCAUCAUGUACUCAUCGUGAAUGGACCAAUCGGGGAGUGACUACAACUGAUCUAUUGGACGUAAGUAGAAGUGAUGAGGAGAAUGUUAGUGAAACUGAUGAAGAGGAUCAAGGGCGAAUUGAUGCUCAUUCUAGUGAUGACGAGGAGUCCUUUGUUGCGUGUUCUUCGGAUCCUGAUCAUGACGGUGGUUUGAAUGCCCUCGCAUGCGCCAUUCGAGAUGAAGGUGUUGAAUGGAUUGAAAACUCAAAUGCCAACAACGAAGAUGUACCGGACCCGGUGGAAUUCGUGGAAUUUGAAGAUCAACGACAACGGUUUGUCCUGGGUAAUGAAUUAAUUAAUCAAAGCGUUGUUGAUGCAUAUAGUGAAUAAAAUAUUGAUCAGGGUCCUCCAAGUGAUGAAGCAUGGGCUAAUCGGACUUUUUCUGAUAAAUCAUCGCUAGUAAGGGCCUUGGACGCUUGGCACAUUGCACAUAAUGUGCAGCUUAAAGUUGUUAAGUCAAAUACAACUAGAUAUACUGUGCAAUGUGUGGUCGAUUCUUGCCCUUGGAGAUUACAUGCCUCUCAACCAAAAGGUAGUUCAUUUUUUCAAGUAAAGACUUAUAAAGGUCCGCACACUUGUUUGGUUCCAAUUCUAAAUACAAGACAUCGAAACUGCACAUCAUCUUUCAUAUGUCAAUUUAUACUACCUACACUGAAGGCAAGGCUUACAAUGAGUCCGAUGGAAAUUCAAGCUCGAGUUCAGAGCGAGUUACACGUUAGCAUAUCAUAUAGCAAGGCUUGGCGGGCACAGAAUAAAGCACUACAAAUUAUAUACGGUAGUUGGGAGCAAUCAUACUGCGACCUUCCUCGAUACUUCUCUAUAUUGGAAACAACAAAUCCAGGAACUAUUACAAAGAUUGAUUAUAUUAGUGUGGCGAGCAAUACGAGAAUGUUUUCACGAGCCUUUUGGGCUUUUGGACCGUCGAUUCAUGGUUGGGAGUAUUGCCGGCCAUUACUUAGUAUCGAUGCUACUCAUCUGUAUGGGAAAUACGGAGGCCACGCAUUAAUUGCCACAGGUGUCGAUGCGAAUGGUGGUUUAUUUCCGCUAGCUUUCGCAAUUUGUGAGGGGGAGAAUGGCUCAAGUUGGGAGUGGUUUUUAAGUUGCCUAAGAAGGUAUAUAACAAGAUCUCGAGUUAUUACACUAAUUUCAUAUCGUUUUAAAGGCCUAGUGAACCUCGUUGCACUUGUAUUCCCACCAUCUGAAGGUCAUGCUCAUCGAUGGUGUUUGCGACAUAUGAAGGCCAAUAUGAAUAUUCAUUUCAAAGAAAAACACUUACUUAAAAUUUUUUAUCGAAUUGGGAGUGCUUCCGAAGAAUGGCAAUAUUACGCAUUAAAGGAAGAAUUGAAGGCUAUGGAUGAAGAAGCUUGGCGUUGGGUUGACAAUCUUCAUAACGAUAGGACAUACUGGGCUAAAGCUUUUGAUGGUGGUCGACGAUUUGGUAUUAUGACAACUAAUCGAUCGGAAAGUUUAAAUGGGGUGUUGAGGGGAGUUCGCGCCUUACUAAUUACAGCUUUUGUGAUGACAACAUUUCAUCGAGUGGUUGAAUUUUUUCUAAAACAUCGGACAGAAGGCGCUGCAAUGUCCACGCAGUUUGUCACGACUGUUGAAAAAACCAUCAAUAGCCGGAUGAGAAGUGCGAGAGGAUAUACCGUUCAACGAUUUGCAUUUCAUAUGUUCAACAUACUUAUUGGCGGGGAUGAUCAAUACCAAGUGACUAUCAAUGGAAGCAGUUCUACAUGUUCAUGUUUGUGUUUGCAACUCACAGGAAUCCCUUGUUCACAUAUUUUGUCAUGUUGUAGUUCAUCACACAUGAACAUAGAUUAUUAUGGCUUAUGUUCUCCUUGGUAUACUGUCGAAUCAUAUUGUAAGGCUUAUGACCGCAAUUCUACCCCGUACCCGAUCGUCGUUAUUGGAUCGCGUCAUAUGAGUCCCCUAUAGUGCCACCACGCGGGAGAAGAAAAAAGGGACGACCCAGAUCUACGCGUAUCCGUAAUGUUAUGGAUGAAGCCAGUGGGAAUAGGAGGGGCAAGUGUAGUAUGUGUAAACAGCCUGGACAUUAUAAAAGCACUUGUCCUGAAAAUCAGCAAAGAAGAACUGAGAGGCGUCGUCGAUAGGUUUUUCUAUAUGAAUAUGACACUUAACUUCUUUAAUCUUUUAUACUUACGCACUAAUUUUACAUCAUGUUGUAUCUAACUAAGUUUUUUUUUUUUUACAAUUUCAGAUGGAUGAUCAUGACGAGCCGGGACCUAUUGAUACAUCCGUGCUGACUGAGCAGCCAUGACAUAGAUCUGCUUUGAUCAGAGAGGAGGUAAAUUUUUUAAAAAUAUUUUAAAUUUACGUAGAUCUUCUUUAACUUAUGUACUAAUUUACGUGCUGGCAUUCACAAUCAUGCAGGGAUAUUCUCCUGUUCAAUUUACGGAGCAUGGCCGUAAAUUGAACAGAUGGCAGUGCGAGCAUCCUGCGGUGUUGGACUUAUUACGCCGAGCAGGAUUUUAUUACGUUUCACGAUUGCGCCGCCUACAGCUCGAUCAGUCAUUAUUGGGAGCAUUAGUCGAGAGAUGGCGGCGGGAGACACAGAGUUUUCAUUUGCGACAUGGAGAGAUGAGUAUUACUUUGAUGGACGUCGCAGUUAUUACGGGACUCCCCGUCGAUAGUGCGGCAGUGACUGGAGGGGGAUCCUAUCAGUGGGCAGAGCUCUGUGGAUUACUUCUCAGGGUGGUUCCGGAGGAUAUUAGGGGUGGUGAGAUCAAGAUAGAUUGGUUAUAUCAGCAGUUCCAUGAUAUCCCUUUAGACGCACCUGAGGCUAUUGUUAGAGCUACGGCUAGAGUAUAUAUACUAUUUCAGAUAGGAUGUAGCUUGUUUCCAAAUCCAAGCGGGAACAGGGUGCAUUUGAAAUGGCUGCCACAUCUAGAGGAUUUUGACCUUUGUGUUGCAUUAGCAUGGGGUGCAGCCGCGCUAGCACAUCUUUAUCGCGCCCUAGGAAAUGCUUGCAUCAGGGGAAAGGUCGAGUGUUGUUGUUUUGGGACAUUAGUUCAGGUACAAUACUUCUAACAAGAAGACCCUUAUAAUACUUCUAGUUAAGUCAUGGUUUUUGUAAAAUUUCUAACAGGAAUGUUUUUUUUUUUGUAUAGAUAUGGGCAUGGGACCACCUACAUAUUGGCCGCCCUGAGGUAGUAGGCCCGCAGCCUGAGCUUGUCGACAUGCCAUUAGGGUGUCGGUAAGUAUUUUUUCAUUUUAAGUUUUCUAUAUACUAAUUUUUCAUAACUAAUAUGAUAUAAAUGAAACAGGUGGAAUACUAGAUUAGCAUUUCGGGACAAUGUCAGGACUACUGACAUUGAGUUUUAUCGUGAUCAGCUGGAUCAGCAGUUAGAGUCUCAGGUAUAUACAAGUUACUCAAUCUGUCGAAUUUUGUAUUCAAUAAUGUGAUUUAUCAGUAUCUUCCCAUUAGGAACACUUAGUUGCAUGUCAAGUUUUACUCUAGCUGCAUGCCUCAGGCCAAUGUAUAGAACAUACCAAAACCCAAUAAAAAACAUCUCCUUUGCAACAUGAAGAUAUAAAUGGUGUGUAUCCAACAAAUAAAAAGCUAUAACACUAAUAAGUGUGUUCAAGUACACAAACAAACCAUCCCAAUGUAAUGUAAGGAUGAAUGAAUAACGCGUGUAUAGAAGCUAGGCUACUAUACUAUCUAUACUAUAUAUAGAGCUAGGCUACUAUAUAGAAGAAUCUAAAUUUCUUCAAAUUCUGAUAGAAAAUACUUUAAACUAUAUAGAUUAAGAUUAACAUUCUUGAUCUUGAAUUUAAAAGUCCUAUGCUCAAAUUUUAAAGAAUAUUCAAUUUUCACCGUCUAUUUUCACAAAAGAUCAUUAUAUGUAUUUUGAUAGCUAAUCAUAUGUAUUUUUCACAAUAGAUUAUAUGGAGGCCUUAUGACGACGCAGUGUUAGAGACGCUCCCACCUUUUUGUCUGGCGGGGUCCCAGGUUUGGCGAUCGAGGACUACCUUAGUCUGCUUCCACAUUAUUGAGCUCCAUCAUCCCGAUCGUGUGCUUCGCCAGUUUGGACUACUACAACAUAUACCUGAACCUGUGCUUGCCAUACCUCGCAUCAAUUCACGAGGCAGAGCAGAUGAGGAUUGGGCGGCAUACCACGCCUCAUACAUUGAGCGUUGGAAUGAUAGAUUGGUAGAUAUAGCAGAGGUGGCCCCUGAGACAGAUCCAGAUCCGAUACGAGCUACCACUGUUUACAUGCAGUGGUAUUGGACGAUCACCAGGAGGUGGAUAUCUAGACCUGUACAACGGCCACCACUUGCCUAUCAGCCAUGUGGACACGUCGAGAGAGUAUUGGUAUGAUUGUAAUUGCAAAUAUCUUUUUAUAUUAAUUUUUAUAUAUACAAGAAAGUUUCGUAUAAUCUUUUUUGAUUGUGCUUUUAUUUCAGGUUGAUAUCGUGCAGAGAUCACAUUAUACGAUCAGACGUGUCCUACCCGAUAUUUCAGGAGGUGGAGUCUUAGCUACCCUAUCACAGGUCGCCGAUCAGAUGGAGGCAGUUCUGGAGACUUUACCUACGCUUCCACACUAUGUACCUCCAGGAUCAGCAGACUAUGGUGGAGCAUCGACGUCCGGGCAUGCACCCGUAUAUAGUCCACCGAUGCCAUCAUCACCGAUAGGGGAGCCACCUUAUGUUGAUGUUACGGACCCGGCACCAGCACCAGUACCGCAGGAUCCAGCUCGAGCAGGUGAUAUUGUUUAUUUUAGGCGUCGACGGCGAUCGAGGUCUAUCCGUACAGAUCAGCCCUCCUCUUCAGCUCCUCCACGGCCAGAUCAGCCCUCCUCUUCAGCUCCUCCACGGCCAGACAUACUACCGGCACAUGCUACUGCUGUGAUUGAGCCGGUUAUUGAGGGUGCUGCUAUAGAGCAUCUAGACCAGUUGGAGAUCUUGGAGCCUUUUGAUGAGCAUGAUGUUGGUCGUGGUCGCGGACGUGGUAGGCGACGUGGUCGAGGAGGUCGAGGGAGGAGAACAUGAUAUUAUAUUUAUAUAUUAUUGUAUAACUUGCAUUUAUUUUGUAUAUUCUGUUUUGAUUAUUUGGUAUUGAUUAUAUUAUUGAGAUUCUAUUGGUUGUGAUGUUGUAAUGUGUAUUAAUUUUGUGAUGUUGUGAUGUGUAUUACUUUUGUGAUGUUGUGAUGUGUUGUGAUAUGUAUUGAUAGGUAUCUGUAUUGUAUUCUUGUAUUGAAUCUUGUAAUUGAUUUUUCUGCGGCAAAUUAAUUGCUGUGUGUGUGGUAGCAUUGGACACGGUGAACCAUUCACCGUGUCCAAUAUUAAACAUGGACACGGUGAAUGGUUAACCGUGUCCUAUACAAGUAUCUUCACAACCCCGAAAAUGGCUAAGUCCGUGUCCAAUACAACUAGCCAGGCCGUAAUUGGCUAUGGAAGUAAAGGACACGGUAAAUGGUUCACCGUGUCUAAACAUGGUGAUUGGUUCACCGUGUUUAGACACGGUGAACGAAUCACCGUGUCUAAUGCAAUAUAACUCCCCGCCGGUGGUGGGAGUAAUACACUAAACACGGUGAUUAGUUCACCGUGUUUAGACACGGUGAACCAAUCACCGUGUUCAUCUUGACCACCUGGCCCAGCCCCUGCCCGCGUGGCGCUGACGUGGCGCUGGCGUGGCAGAGGCAGGGCCAUUUUUGCAAAUAAAUUUUGGACAGGGCUAUUUUUGCAAAUAAAAUUUGUCAGGGGGCUAUUUGCAAAAAAAGCCCCUAAUUCUUAGUACUAAUUCAACUAAGAGGAGACAUCUCAAAUCAAAGUAUGCUUUAGUUGACGCAUGUCAACUAUGAUUCUUUUUUUUUUCUUACCAAAAGAAAAAUAUGCACUAAAUAACAACAUACCUCCAUACAACGUUUUCAUCUAAACUGUUGCUUCUUCGCUAUGCAAUAGACUUGCCAAGUCCGGACACCCAACCUCAACUCAGGAGAAAAUUAAUCUGGAUAUUCAUUUAAUUCAAAUGGAAUCCGCAUAAUCAAUUUAUGUUUUAGUUGAAAGUCACUAAAAUAGUUCUUUUAACACUAAACAUUAGAUUUUUCAAUGAAAAAAUAAAAUUUUAAAUUAUCAGUUUUAGUCCACUAUCCUAUUUAUUAUUGACAAAUUCACAUCAAGUCACAAUUAAACACCAAAUAAAAGUCAAAAUUUGUAAAACGCAAGGCAUUUACCAAGAUCAUGUGCUUCCCCUUGAUAUCGAUCUUGAGGUUGCCGGAGAUUGUGGGCUCGCCAUUGGACUCAGUUCUCAUGCUAUCGGACUGGACGUGGAAGAAUCCAAAUUAACUGUGUUGACAACACAACCAAUGCAGUAUUGGAAAAAUGUUGGAGUGCUCGGAUUUGGGUAUAAGUCAGGUAUCUCUUAUUCACAUCGCAUAAUAGAUUACGAUUUUCGUUAGGAAAUAAUACUCCUACAUUCACUAAAAAGCAUUACGCUAGCAAACCUGUGUAGAUACCCAGAUUGGAAGAACUUAUUCACGAAAGAUUUAACUAUUUUUUGACAAAUUGGUUUGGAAUCGUGUAAAAUUUUCACUUGCAACAGAAUACAGAAGCUCCAAUGAGACCAACUAUAAAGGGAAAAACUCAAUUGAAAACUUUUCUAGACAAAGAAUGAAAAGAGAGACACAAUUCUUAAAAAGAGAUAUAACUUAGUUCACCAAAGCAAACAGGAGCAGAUGUGAUUUUAAAAGUAUUCUCCAAGUCUUUGAUGAUAGAUAUUGCCAUCCUACUCAAGAAAAAAAAAUAAGGUGCAAAAAAUCAAGAUGAUGCUUACAAUUUGUAUCCUCUUCUAUGGCUUGCAGUUUGAGCCUUUUAUUGAUUUCUCAUGUUGCUGUUUUUUUAAUAUGUUAGCAUUCUCCACUCAACAACCAACAAUCGUUGCGAGUAUUAUAAUGAAUUUUAAAUUCUUUUCUAUUUCAUGAAACCUCGAUAGAAACAUUCAAUAUUGAUCGACAAAUAUGCAACCAAUGAAACCUAAAGGGACGUCCUUAAUGUUUCAAAUAAUCUAGUCAAAAAUAAUUAUCUAGAGACCCAUUAAUUAGAAUGUUUUUUAUUACCACAUUUUAGCAAUUUGAAGCACUAAUGGCACCUGUGGAGGCAUUGAAAUCAUAGUUGGGUUGUCUCCUUUAUCUGCUUAUGAUUCUUUUCCCUCUCUCCAUAACUCGUUGCCUUCCCUUCCCACAGAGGAACCCCGAGGGAUAGAGACCCAUCCUGUAAUAGGCUGAAAUUUGAUUAGAAGCUAAUUGUGAUCAAAGUGGUCAAAAUAAUGCUAAAAUGGAAAUUAAGUAUUUCUAAACUUAAUUAGUGGCUUGAGGACAUCAAGUGACAGGUUUUGGAAAUGUGAGAAUAGAUAAGAAUGGAAUUGGAGUGGCUAAAGACAUCCAAUUGCCAUUGCUACUCUUAUGCUGAAAUUUUAGUUAACUUGGUCAAAAAUGAUCAAGUUAAUGCAAAUUUGAGAAUUAAAUGUUAUCAAAUUAAUUUGGUAGCUUGGGAAGUUCAUUUGGCAUGUUUUGGAAGUGCUCGAAGUGAAUUGGAAGUGGCAGAAACCUCCAAUCACUGCUGCUAUCAAGUAAUGCUGAAAUUCCGAGUUAAUGUUGAUCAAAAUGAUCAACAUGAUGCCAAAUUGGAAAUUAAUUGCUUCCAAAUUAAUUUGACAACUUGUAGAGGUAUAUUAGUGUAAUUUGGAAGUGCUUGAGUGGACUUGAAGUGAGUUGGAUGGGCAUAAUAAGCUUCAAAGUGCUGCUGCAGCUAGUUGUUUAGUGCAGGGACUGAAUCGUAAGCUUCAGGGACUGAAAUGUAAAUAUGAAGGUUGCAAUGUACUUUUGCAAUUCUAAGGGGCUAAGCUGCAUUUUUUCAGUCUUAUCCCUUUACCCCAGUUAAUCUGAAGGUGUACACGUAUUGGGACACCCCUCCACCAGCCUAAUCUUAUUCCUUUUCUCCUCUCUUUCUCUCUCAGCCAAGAAACAACCUAGUGGGCUGUUGGAGCUGAAUUCUUGAUGUUGGCAGCUUGGGGAUUUGUAGGCUGAGGUUGUGAGACCUGAUUCAAGCAGGGAGUUAAUUGGAGAAGCUUCAAAAAUUAAAGUAAGUUAAAUCCUCACCUGAUUUAUAUUGGAGCUAGCUACUUAGAGAAGAGUUAAAGGAAGAACUCUUGCUGUCAGGACUUGAGAGCUGAUUAGGACUGGCAGACUUGGUGUCUUCGGCUUGGUGGAGUGGCCGAGCUGAGAGAGGAUGCUAUUGGAGUUGAAGUAACCUGGCGUAACACUUAAUUAAGGUAAGCAACUUGCCCCUCAGCUGAGAAUUAAUUACAACUACAAAGGGAUUAAGUUUAUAGUAUUAGAAUGCUGAAAUUUCAGAUUUGUGAGCUGAAAUCAAGUUGAUAGAUGUUCUUGGUACUGCCGAAAUGCAGGGAUGGCCUAUUUGAUGCAGUGAGCAAGUUAAUUUAGCAUCAAACUAUAGUAAGUUCCUUCUAUAUUGAAUUACAGUUAAAUUAGUUGCUUUAGAAUGGAUCGAAUUGAGUCUUAUGGUCGAAAAUUUCAGAUUUGGGGCUACCAAGUGGAGUUGAUACCUUGAGUGGGUUCUUGAUGCUUCAAGCUGAAAUUAAUUAGAAGAAGUAUCUAAUUAAGGUAAGUUUGAACUAGUAUUGGACUAUAAUUAAGUUACUUACCUUAACGAAGAGUUAAUAAAGGCUUUAUUGACUGCCAGGAUUAGAGCUUGGUAAACUAGUUGUAGAACGCAGCGGAAGUUUUCGGUUCGUACCUUUUUGCGGAAGCGAUUCAGAUUACAACUCGAUGAGCCCGGAUCGUCGAGGUUGAUUCACAUGUCCUUUGAUCGUCCUUGAUUAAAUCUUCUCACGUUCCAAACUCGCGAUGGAUCGAACUACAAACGAGCGCGAUCGAAAAUCCACCGUGCAAGUCCCUCUAGAAUAAUAGGUCAAUGGAGGAUGUGGUUUCUCGCUAUUAUUUUUUUUUUAUUCUCUCUCUGUUUACGUUCUUUCCGUGUAUUUUUUGUUAUGUGGGAUCGCCCGCAUAUUUAUAAGGAAUUCCAAAAUCCUAAUGGCGUUAGAGAUAAGGCCAAAUCGGUUAUUAAUUGUUAUCCUAAUAUGACUAGGAUUUAUCUCUAACUAACUUUCCAAUUUGAAAGCGAGAUUAAUUCCAAUCCAAUUAGAUAACAUAAUAUCCGUCGGAUCGAACCCGCUUAUGGGCGUACCCGAUUCGAUUUAACCGAAUGCCAACACUAGUAAACCAGAAUUGGAGAGAGAGCUUCCUGCUGUUGGAACUAGUGAGCAGAGAAUCAGCUAAGAGAAAGAACUCUGGAGCAUUGAUACAGCUAGUGAGGUAAAUUGAUGUUUAUUCCUGAAUUAAGUAGUGUGUUAGCUACGUUAAGACUGAUUUUAAGUAGCUAAAGUUGAAGUUAGCAGUUGAACUAAUGCUGAAAACUGGGAAGUUUAAAUGCUGAAUUUCAGCAUUGAAGAUUUUAUGCUGAAGCUGAGAGGGAUGCUUAUUCCUGAGUGGAGUGGGCUGGUAUUGCUUUAAAAGAGUGUGAUCAAAACAAGUAUUUCUUUUAUACUCGUAAUAAGCUGUGGAGGAGAAGGUGGAGUGCUGAAAAUUCAGCGUUAUGUAGGAUUCUGUAUGGUGCAGAAUUCAUUAGAGCUGAAAUAGGCCAAUUGAGUAAUUGAUCUAGAAAACUCAAAUUAGAGAUGAUUAGAACAAAGUUGAAAUUGUUUAACUCUAAUCUUUAAAUGAAAUUGGGGGUAAAUUCACUCUAAUUUCUGUUUAGAAGAGCUGCCAAGAGAACUAAUAGGGAAAUGAAGCAAGAUUUCAGCUUAAUGCUGAAAUCAAUGCGGAAUUGACACUUUAUAUAGCAUUGAAAUGCUAACUUGUAAAAUAUGAGAAUAAGGCUCUAGUUUAAUGUCUUCUGAUCCUUUAUAAUGAUAAUUAAACAUGUCCGAAAGUCUAAAUUGACUUUACGACAGGUCGGCGACGCGUUAAUUAAGAUAGAAGCCAUUUUGGCUCUAUUUGCAUCGAGUCGCGAGAACUAGUUGUCGACGCGUUCCGAGACGUGGAUUCUAAUUGUUGACACCACUACAGGUGGGUGGUGCUAUCCGAAGUCUUUGAAUCACCUUUUAUGUCUAUGAUUAUUCAUUGAGCAUAUUUAUAUUUGUAGUCAUGCAUUAUAGGGUGUUCGGCGUUGUGCAAGUGAAAAUGUAAAUUCCUAUCAACAAAGAGAACUCGUGAACCUUAGAAUGUGGACAUAGAACCCUAUGAAUGCACGGACUAUAACAAUAGUGAACUUGGUGACAUUCUAACUAGAGAAUUGGAUAGCAUUGAGAAAUAAAACAGUGAAACUAGCAAAAAGAGCUAGUUAGAGUUAAAGUGUGACAUUGGCUAUUAUUGAAUCCUCUAAAAGAGGAUCAGAUCUUACUCACAUAGUCUGUUUUUAGCUUGGUGGUGGUCGCUCCCCCCAGGCAGUGCGCUCCGGAGUGGUCACUUGAUGGGCUAAAGUAUUUGCCCUUGGACUAAAGUAUCUGUCCAGCAGACGGUCCCGUCGGGAGGCAGCUUAGGGCCCGCAAGGGAUUGAGUUGGUGAGUUACAGUUAACCAAAUGGUUAGCUAGAUUGAUUGAGUAUUGGUACAUUACAGCAUGCAUGCAUACUUACAGUUUUCAUAUAUCAUUUCUUUCAGCUUGGUACAGGCAUUGUAGUAGUUAUAUGUUAUAGUUGGUUACUAUCUGUUUACUUUUUUUGCUACAUAUGCCUGAAUAGACCUAGUGGGUGAGUCGCGAGGUCGGCGGCCGAACCCACUGGGAACUUUUCUGUAGUUCUCACACCACUAACUAUACAGGUUCCAGUGCGAGCGUUGUGGCCGAGGAUCGCGGCAAGAGCCCUGCAGCCUAGCUAGCAGACACCAGUGUUUAGUGGUAUCCCAUUUUGAGUUCAUGUGAGACAUUUUGAUGUACAGAGACAUGUAAAUGAAUGUAUUAUAAAGCAUGUAAAUAACUAAAUGUUUCAGUUAUUUAGUUAUGUAAAGUUCAGUUUAAAAGUUUUAAAUUACAGUGAAUUUUUAGUAUAGCUAGCUUACUAUCACUUGUGAUUGUUGCUUGCCCUCGUGCAAGCCAUGUAUAUUGAAAUGUUAUCUUGGGAAUUGUUUAUUUCUUUAUACAUAUACUCGUUGUUGUUGAGCCUUGGGCGGACAGAGGAGGUUCUGUCCGUUCGGCGCCUGUGUACGGGCCCGGAUCGACCAAAUUGGUGAUAGCGGGAUAUGACACAUCCAUUGCAAAACCUAGGGGGCAGCAGCAGCAAUGGCUUUCUCAGCCUUUUCUUUUUCUUCUUCUUCCUCCGGCGUCUUCUUCUCCCGUAGAUCUCUACGGUGGCUCCUCGAAUGCAGAGGCGAGAAAGAUCGAUCCUUUUUUCAGUUGUUUUUGUUGUUUUUCUUAGGUUUUCGAUCUCCUAUCGUUGUUUUAGCUCUGAGAUCAAAGGUUGGAGCGAGGGAUUUGGACCUAUCCUGGAGUGGAAACCCCAGAGAUUCCGGCUUCUUGGUGUUUGGAUCGGGAGAGAGGGGGUGGUUGGGGUUCUUGAUCUACGUUGCUUAGAUUCACGCGGCGGAGGGGCCUAGAUGCCCCCUUUGUAGCUGGGAAAUUUGAUGGAUCCUGAACCCUUGCCGUGAGAUCGCAAGGACUUAGUCUCGAAGGAAUGGAAGCAUGAUAGAGGGGUGGGCUCCGAUGCCCUAGGCGGCGGUGGCGCCUCCUCUACGCCUUGGUGGAGAGAGCCCUACCACGGGACUCGCUCCUUCUUCCGCGCUUCCCCUCGCCGGCCUCCGUCAGUUACUAUCGUGGAAACCCCUCUCAGUUCUUAUUCCGAAGAUCCCGCCUCCUGUGGUUGCACCUCGUCUCGACCGGACAAGUAUUGUAUCGAAGAUGAGGGCUUUAGACCCUCUGGAAGUUACGACGGUAGGGGUGGUAGAAACAGGAGCAACGGCGGAGGUGGAGGUGGCGGCAGCAACAGCAGAGAGGGCCCAGAUAUUUUCGGCGAUCUCCUUUCGAGAUUCCUAAUGGCAGUAGAGAGGUAAAAAAGGAAGGUGGGGAAAGAGAAGGAAAUGGAAUAGCCGUUGUGGCGAAAGCAUAGGGAAGUUAAAGCCGAGUGGAAAUACUGCAACGGAAGAGGAAGAAAGAACGGAUGCACGACAUGGAGAGGAGACGUUACUUGCCAUAUAAAGAAAACGGAAAGGAUAGAGAAGCGGUUUGGUUCAGAAAUUAAGAGAGUUUAGUUCAGAGAAGAGAAGCAUCGGGUGAGGAGGAGAUGGGUCGUUCGGUUCAAAGCCACAAUUCGGUAACUAAGAAUUCGUAUAGUUUAAUAGAUUCAAUGGGCGGUUUGGUUUAAAUGCUAAAAGAGUGGUUCGGUCCAAAUAAAAUAAUUUGGUUCAAAAUAAGGCUAUGAGGAUGAAGAAUGAUUUGCCACGUGGCUAAAAUUAUUGUGGCUUCAUAUAGGUUUAUAGAUUGUUGCAUUGAGAACAUAAACUACAUGCAAAGAGAUGUUUGUCAGCAUGUCCACGUAAUAAUAGCUAAACUUUAACUAAAAUAUUUCCCGGGUAAUAUAGUGAUGAACAUCCUAAAAUAAAUAGAGCUUAAAAAAGAAUCCAACUCCACCAAGAUGUUUAGUCCGGCAUCUCUUUUGUUCACUCAAAUAGCAGAGUCAUUGAAGAUUUACGAGUUCAAAAUAUAUCCAUAUGCACAUAGUAUAUUCAUCUAUAUCACUUCGGCAAAGAACUUUUUAAAUCACACAAAAUCCCAUCCCGUAGAGUUUAUCAUCUUAUGACGUGCUCCUAUACCCAAACAAUGAAACAAGCUCUAAAAAUUAUCUGCUUACGAUUUGGACCCAGUAAUCCUAUAUGGAUAAGCACUUUCAGCAACACUUUGCACAAAUCCUUGAAGAAUUGAGAGUAGAAAAGAAACAAGCAUCAAGAGAAAGGGAGUGUGUUUUUUUUCUAAACAAUCUUUCAUAGUAUGGGUUAGUUAAUAGCACAUACAGGUGAAACUAAUGCUGUAAAUGGUUUCUCACCAAUAAGCUACUCAAGAAACAAAUGGAAAUGGACAAAAAAACAAAAAAUUGCCCCUAUUGUACAAAGAAUAUCUUCUUGCUUUACUUCAUUGCAAUAGUAAAUGCAGAGCUGAAGAUGUCUAACCACUGUAACAAUGUCCAGAGAACCAAAUUAGUCUGAGAACUAUUGUUUGUAUAAUAUAGCAGUAAAUAAAUAUAAGAACUUCAGAGAAACCAAACAAAUCACAAAUCACAACAUAAGGAAGAACCAAGAAUUAGCUAAGUGUUUGAAAUCAGAUUCCGCAUUUUUCUGUUCCACUACAGUGUUAAAGAUAAAUUACAAAAAAAAGACCACCUACUUUUAAGACCUUGCCUCUCUAUCCGCAUGAAAAAAAUUGGCAUCAAUCGCAAUAACAUGUUACCACCAUCUCAUAUAGGCCCAAAAGUUUAGGAUGACUAGCGGAUUUGGAUGUAAAACUUCACUAGAACUAGUUCGUAUACUGUGUCAAUUUUAUGUUUGAAUAUUUAUCCAACUUACAACUUAGUGACAAAUCUACAACCAAAUAAUAGAGAUUUUUUUAAAAAAUAGAUUUAUUAUUUGGUCAUUUAUUAGACAAUUUAUUCAAUUUAUGUGGUUUUUGUACACUCAGUAUGAUCAAGACUUUCCAUUAACUCAUUUGCAUUGUGUUUUGCAUUCAACUCAUUCAUAAUUCCAAAAUUUGGGGCUUGUUUUUGACAAUAGUAAACCGGAGGGUUGGAGCAGAUGCAAUUUUGGUUUUGCAGGUAGCUAAUAAGAAAAACGCUGAAGUGCAAGUUUCGUAAUUUGGGCUAGUAGUAAGUAAAAUAUCAUUCACGGUUUAGUGACAAUAAUAGCACAAGAACCUGUGCAGUGGAAGAGUAAGAAACUUCAUACAAACUAAGCAUACUCCAAGUGAAAGCGUAUACUUUGACUUAUUAAUCCUGUUCAGUAAUUAACCUUCAAUUGAAGCAAGACAUUUCGAAAAUAACUUGUCGGACUAUAUGGCUGCAAUUUUUAUUCUUCAGUUGCAGUCCUAUGAAACAGACUAAAUUAACUGGUCCGUAAAGCACAGUUGACCACUCCACUAUCCACCUACAUAUCCAGCAGAAAUAAACAGAGCUCUAAUAAAAACACAACUAGCACAUCUAAUAAAACAAACGACUAGUGAAUGAUAAGUUCUAGGAACCAUUUAGAAAGUUUCAAUCUGUACUAAAAAUUCUCCCUUUCACGUUUCAAUCUGUACUAAAAAUUCUCCCUUUCUCAUUUCUUUACAUGGAUCCCAUAAUGACAAGAGAGCUUUAUGUCAAGGACUUAGAAAAAUUUCAGCCCAUUACAAGUCCCUAUCCCGACCUCGCUAACUGAAAUUGGCAGCCAAAGAGUGUCACACCCCAAUAAUCCCACAUCGGAUAUGAAUGGGGAUGUGAUUGGGUAUAUAAAAGACUUAAACACUAGUAAUAAUAAGGGAAAACUUCAAAUACCCCCCUGUGGUUUCACUUUUUUCACUUUAAUACCCUGUGGUUUAAAAUGUAUCAAGUUAGUACCCUAUGGUUUCUCACGUUAUCACUUUAGUAUCCUGUGGUUUAAAAUGUAUCAAGUUAGUACCCUGUGGUUUUGCACUUUAUCACUUUAGUAUCCUGUGGUUUCGUACUUUAUCACUUUAGUACCCUGUAGUUUAUAAACCACAGGGUACUAACUUGAUACAAAAAUAAAACUAUAGGGUACUAAAGUAAUAAAGUGAAAAACCACAGGAUACUAACUUCAUUUUAAACCACAGGGUACUAAAGUGAUAAAGUGAGAAACCACAAGGUACUAACUUGAUACACUUUAAACUACAAGGUACUAAAAUGAAAAAGUGUGAAACCACGGGGGGGUUUUUGAAGUUUUUCCUAAUAAUAACUAGGCUUAAGCAUUUUGGGCCGGUGUUUGGGCCCAACGAGUUAUUAUUGCCAGUGGGCUAGGUCGUUAUAUUUGGUAUCAGAGUCAGUUCACCAGCCAGAAAUGUGUGGCGAGUAAUAGGCUAUGCCAGAGUCUGAAUGACAAAAUAACCGGCUAUGCCAGGGUCUAGAUGACAAGGCUAGCGAAACGAGUCUCAUAUCGCCUGGUGAUCUUGUGCUGUGUGUGUGAUUGGACUGACGAGAACGUCAGGGCCUUAACGGAGGGAGUCUGUCACACCCCAAUAAUUCCACAUCGAAUAUGAAUGGGGAUGUGAUUGGGUAUAUAAGAGACUUAGACACUAGUAAUAAUAACUGGGCUUAAACAUUUUGGGCCGAUGUUUGGGCCCAACAAAUUAUUAUUGCUAAUGGGCUUGGUCGUUACAAGAAGGUACCAUUCUAGCACCUUGUGUGGGAGACAAAGGGUAACGCAAUUGCAGCAUUAAAGCCUCGAAAAUUGCCAGCAGAUGCCCAAAGGUCACGAGCAACUCUUGGGUUCCCUUUCAUAGUUUUUCUAGCCUGUAGUGUGUUAACGUACGAUGGUCAGUGGGCAGAAUCAAUGUACCAUAUGCCUAUACGUAAGAGGAUUGGCUGAGGCCAAGGCAUAGAGAGAUGCACUUGUAAUUCUAUUUUUCUAAGUAAUAGAGUACUUAGUUUUUUUUUUUUUUUUUUUUUUNUGUUUUUUUGCAGACCCUGUCUCUCUUUUCACUCUUUUGCACUUAGUCGCAGACCAGAGGUCCGGGAUAGCAAACAGAGAGCAAGACUUGCCCAUCUUCGCUGAAGAAGUCGGGGGCCACACGGGCUUAGUGAGCAAAAUUCCUAAGUCCGUGAAAUUAAGCUACUUAAAUAUUUCUCUUCUACAUGACAGAGUUUUAGUCACGAUGAUAUCUCAACAGCACAAAAAGCGUACAUAUGUAAUGCAGUUUCUGAGAUGAAUAGUUUUUUAUCAGAACUGAAAUUGAGAGUCGCUAUUUAGUAACUACAUCAUGAGCAUAAGGCAUACAAAAACCUGGCAGAGAGGCCAGACUGAAAUUUUCAACAGGGUCAUCCUUUCCUAAAAUAAGUGCUUCGUCAACAUGAUUUGAAGAAAUCUUCAAUAUUAUCAUUCUUUUCAUAAGAUCCAGUACUAUAAAAACCCCUAAAACAUCAUCUUGAACAGGCUAGAUUGAAAUUUCUCCUACCAACCGACUAUAAUGGGAGUUUAGAUGACCACAAGGGUGAAACUUCAAAAACUGACGCCCAUUAAAACUUUCAAUAUAGAAGUUACUAUUAUCUAGAUAGUUGUUCAUCCAUAUUCCUUAUUUCUGCAAUAAAAUUGAGGUUUGCCACCAUUGUUAUGUGACCUAAAAUAGAUUGGGUGUUUGGACCCCAGUGAAACAGGCACCUAACCAAUUUGAUUUUAUUUUCAGACUAGAAACAGAUUUGAACAACUAAAAUUCUAUUAAACUAAGACUUGACCGGUUAACUAGUUGGCCUGAAUAGCCUAGCUGCCUAGGUGAAGCAGGCUAUGCACAUGGGCUCCUGUUUUGUCAUAGUCCAAAACCUCACUUAUUGACUAUGUUGCACAGAUACGGAUACGGGGAUACGGAUACGACACGAUACGGAUACGGCGAUACGGCAAUUUCUAAAACUUCUAGGAUACGAUACGCGGAAUAUACUUGAAUAAAAUAUUAUUUUAAAUAUAUUUAAAUAUAUGUUGAUUAUAUGUAAUAAUAUAUUGAGAACAAUCAGGAUAUCUGGACUAUAUUAAGGAAUAUAUUCUAAUAUGCAUUAACUUGUAUAAUUGUUCUACAUAUGUUCAUAAAAAAAGAUAAUCAAUCAUAUAAAAUAAUAACUCAAAAAGUAUCAAACCAACUAUCAUCCAACUUGAUCAAAUGAUAAUAAUAGAUAUGUAGUCGCAUAAACUAGAUAAUUAGCCAUUCAAUAUAUAUGUAUGUUUUGUUAGUUCUAUUAUUAAAUUAGUAAUAAAAAAAUAUGCUAACAAUUUAAUAGAAAAGGAAAAAAAUAAUAUUUUCUAUAGCCUUUGUUGCUUAAUGCUAGGUUGACAAAUUAGAUGAAAGAGAGUAAAUACUGUGUGAAGAUAGAACGAGAGGGAGAGCCUUCUACCAUUCAAUAGCAAAAAGCGCCUUCUACCAUUCAAGAGGAAAAAGAUAGAUGAAAUGACAAAUUGAACAGAGAUUGACGUUUUUCUCACUCUUUUCCUUCUUUCCAAUAAGUUUGGACGUAAGCUUUUAAAAAAAUUUUAAGUUUCGAUCAUUUUAGACCAAAAAAGAAGCUAGCCGUGUCCCCCCCGUAUCCCCCCGUAUCCCUCACGUAUCCGAGCGGUAUCCGAGCCGUAUCCGAUAUUUUUUAAUUUUUUAAAAUUGCCGGAUACUUCAUUCCCGUAUCGGACACGUAUCGGGCGCGUAUCGGGCGCGUAUCGGUAUCCGAUACGUAUCCGAUACGGGUACGGCAUGAAAUUCGAAGUAUCCAUGCUUCAUAGCUUAUUGAAGUUCAAAAGAUCAAAAGAAAAGGAAAAACUUCAAUUUAGUUAGAUUUAAUACCUAAUCCUCUAGUAGAAAAGCAAGCAACCAAGAAAUUAACUAUCUGGUGCAUCAAAGCCUAUCUAGCAAGUCAUACUGUACUCACGACUUAUAAGCAUGUACCGUACCUCGAUGCUGGUAGGCAUGUCGAGUGAGACAUUUUGAUAUGCCAAGCAUAUUGUACACCGUGCCAAUAACAUGACAUACAAUUUUUUCCCUAUUUCCUUCUCCAAAUCUCUCUCGCUCUCUCUCUCUCUCUCUCUCUCUCUCUACAAGAGCAGAAGAAAUAGGAGUAAGUUAUCUCUCUCUCCUGCUCCCUCUUCUUCUUUGAAAAUUAUAAAAUAUGAAUUUUCCAUUAGUUUCCUUUGGAAAAAAAUAUAUCACAAAGAAUGAAAGAGUAAGUAGAUCCGCUUGAUACACUCAUCAAAUUAUACCCCCAUCACAGUACAAAUUAUACAGACCUCAUUAUUGUUGUAUUUACUUAUUAACUUCAUAUGUAUUGCAUUACAAAUGUAGAUUUGUGGGUAUUAAAAGUAUACAGCCAACUGCAGCCAAUGGGUCAAAAGAAACAAUGAAUAGAAACCCAUACCAAAGAAACGACCAUAAAAGACUUCUUUUGAUCAAAAAAGGCCAAAUAAACCUGUGCCAAAGUGUGCCCGUGUGUGUCAAUUGGUGGUUUGCAUGCCUAUCAGCACACAUCAGUGCCAACACUCAGCACCGCGUUGAGCCCGUGGUCGUGACAAUAAGGACUCAGCAUGCGCCCUUACCUCUGCACUUCAGUCCUUCGAACUAAACAUCAAGCCAUCAACUCAUGUCUCUCAAAUUAGAAGUAGUUCUUAAUUUAAGUUCAGGGUCCUAAAUAUUCUAAUGAUCUUUGAUAAAAAUAAAAUAAAUUAUGUAGAUUAGACAUUAUCUUACUUAUUUCCAGCUAUUAAUCUGUUAUUUAUAUGUUCCUCUAUUUGNAAGUACUCGACUGUAACUCCCAGCAUCAGAUUGAACUAACAAUGAAAGUGUUUCUAAUGAUAUAAAAUAUACUUACGAUCAAAGUGUUUCCACUAACCGUUAGAUUGAACCUGCUGGAGUCAACCAACCAGAAUAACACGCAGGAAAUUUAUUUUAAAAUUUUUGUUUCUUACGUUGCCCGGGCAUGAAUAUCAACUUAUUUUCUGAGAAACCAAACUACAUAAGAACAACAACGAGCAUAUAUAUAUACAUGAUCUUUUGAGGAAAAAGAUGUGGAUCCAAAAACUAAUCGCAAGAUCCUGUAGCUAGCCGUCUCAUAUAUCUACCUAAAAACAUGACCGAUCACCAGAAAUCUGGGAAUAACAUUUUAGUUUCCUGAAAAGGUUCUACAAUUCUAUAUCCCCGAUUCCCCGUUACGACCAGUAUUAAAUAAUGCAAAGCAGAGUUUCGUAAUAGCUUCUUAGUUUCUAGAUACUGACAUAGAUUACGACCUAGACAUGAGAUCAGAUCUGAAAAGAACAUAUGAAAUCAUUAGAAAAUGGGUGAGAAAAGCGAAAAUUGGCUAAAACAGCUCCUGCCCCGUAGAUUACUUAACACGAUCUCACAACACUAAAGAAAACGCUGGAUCAAAACCGAACGAAUCAAAUAUUAAGUAGAAAAAAAGCGUCUUCAAAUAUAAUCCUCUGAUUCCAACAAAAAAUACACAAAAUGUGAGCUAAAACAUAGAUCUAAAACCCUAAAAAGAAAAAAAAAAGAUCCAGGAUCGUGGGAAGCUCACCUCUAUCGAGUCACCACCACCUCAGAUCUCGAAGCCAAAGAGAGAGAGGUUAGGAUACAAAAACGAAACCCUCGAAUGGAGAUAUAAAGGAAGAGAGAAUAGAGAGGGAGAGAGAGACAGGGAACAAAUGGGGUAGCCUCGUUCUUUCUUUCGCUUUUGAUUUUUUUUUAAAAUUUUUUUUGAUACCUUCUUCGUAAAUUUUCCCAAAUCUGGAAUUGCCAUAAAUGCUGCUGUGCUUCUCUCCAUAGUCUACUUGCCCUCCUUUCAAAUAAUAGAACAAGUCACGUGCCCUGAAAAAUAAAUUCCUCAAAUCCCAUCUUUUAUCAAUAACCAAACACAAACGCGAAUUCUCUCAACUACAAAUGAUUUUGAAAUAGACCACUCAAACUGUUUCUUCUAUUUCUAUCAAAUAAAAUUGGAAAUUUUGCUAAACCUGACAUUGAUCUGAACACAUUUUUAGCCGACGAAACUGCAGAAUUCAUCAUAGUUAACGGCUAAUAGCUGACAAAAUCGUUAGUUUUUAAUGAAUUUUUCCACAUCAAUUUAGAAAAGUAACUCAAAUCAAAACGAUAAAAAGUUGACGACACAACCAAUAACAAAAUCAAAAUGAUGAAGAGUUUUUAUUCCAAGUAAGAAUUAUUCGUAUCAACCUAUCAUGAACGCUGGUCAAAGACCCCAAAUCCGGCACGAGAACGCGAUGGUCCUUCUUCUCCGCUCCAGCGAAGUACGAGAGCCCUCUGAGCCUCUGUAACCAAUCAAUCAAACAAAAUAAAAUUACAAUAAAUAAAUAAAUAAAUAAAUUUGGCCCCCUAAACUUCUUUUUUUAUUCGAUUUGCACUUCUCUACUUACUAACCGCUUGAUUUAGCUCCUUCCGUUAGCAAUUUUUGUAAUUUUGUUAGAACACGAAAGAUGCACGUGGCAGUUUCAAUUGUUAACAAAAGUAGCUACAUCAAAUGGCUAGUAAGCAGUGAAAAUGUUUAGGUGGUGCCUACACAUUUUAACAAAGAAAGAAAAAAAAAACUAUAUGAAAAUUACCUGAACUAUACACUAUUUUGAGUCGGCUAUUCAAUCUUUCAAAAUUUUAAUUUUACUAUCCAACCUUUCAAUUUGUUUGAUCUGAAUCAAUGAACGACACUUCAUCUUCAAAAUUUAAAUGCGUUGUUUAUCUUUACAAGUUUAAUUGGUAUCCUUCCCGUAAUUCUCGCAACUGUAAAUUUUAUUAAAAGUAAGAAACUAGCUUAAAUUCUAAAGUUCGGACAAAUUAAAAGGUUCAGCAGUAAAAUUAAAAUUUUGAACGUUUGGAUAGCAAAUUCAAAAUAGUUCAUAGUUCAAAACCUAAGUUCUGUACAUAAAAAAAAAGAAAAAGAAAAAGAAAAAUCCCCCACAAUUUUUUUUUUUCGCAUAGACAUUUCAUCAAACACCUAACAGGCGAAAACAUACACCCAACUCAAUCCAUCCACCCCUCGAUCAUUUAUCUUUACAAGUUUAGUCCCUAUAAUUCGCCAUGUAUAAAUUGAUCAUUUAAAUUUGAAAAUUCUACCAAAUUGAAAGGUCGGAUAGUAAAAUCUACAUUUUGAAAGGUCAGGCAAAAGCCGAUUCAGAAUAGUAGCAUAGUUGAGGUUAAGCUCCGAAGGAAAUAUUUCACACGGGCAUUUCACCGAACACUUAGCGGGCGAAAAUAAAAAAAAAAAUCAUAAUAAAAAAAAGAUACCCCUUUGCCGAAGCCGAAGAUGCCGUGGACGAGGACGAUCGGCGGCUGCGGCGAGUGGGCGAGGACGACAGUCUUCCCCCCCUUCCCCUCCUGCUCGGCGGUGGCGAAGUUGAAGGUGGACGGCCGGAAGCAGUCGGCGGCCGCCUGCGAGAGGUCGGAGGCGACGGCGAUGCUCAGGAUGUAGAGCCCGAACAGCAGGUGCAUCGCCGCGCUUUUGACCGCCGCCGUGCUCGUGGUGUGCUGCGGCAUGGAGUGGCGAGGCUCCGCAGCGGCUCCCGUCCCCUCUGAUCCCGCGUGGUGAUCGCCGGAGAUCUCUCCGGCGGCGAUCGCCGGAGAUCUCGGCAGGAAGAAGAACUGGAUACGAAUGGGAAGGGUUUGGGAAAAAAAAAAUGUCGCCGUAUGCUAACGGAAUUAGGUGAGGGUUUGGAACUUAAAAUAUAAUGUGGAAAUACGAAUAAAUAAGAAUGGUAUUGAUAUUUUAAGAAGCAUUAGUUGUGGUAUAGUGGUUGAGAGGGAUUAAAUUAAUGUAAAGGUUGCGGGUUCAAGCCCCAGUCUCUUAUUUUUUGUGACAGUUUUUUUUCUAUUUUGUAACUAAAAACUUUUUUGGUGACAUACGAAAUUUAAAUCCGUAACAAAUGCACUACUUUUUUGUAGUGAGAAAACCAGAAAACAGGGGCGUGAGAACUAUUAAGAAUAGUUCCCAGUGGGCAAUUACUGACUUCAGUGAGUGCACCGCAAGGCCCAAAGCUACAAUAGAUGUCAGUGACUAUAAAUGUAGGAAAAUGAAGGGCAAGUAAAAAAAUGUAACUUACUACAACAUGAUAUCUCUGCUUAGUAUAAAUAGCAUAAGUAUGAAGUCAACUAUGCAUACAAUACAAGUCUCCAACUAUCAUAAUAUCCACAAUGCGAAAUAGUAAAGUUUUGUUGUUUACUAUUCUAGUCAAUGUCCAAGUAGUACACUAAGUCAUCAUGUCAUAAUGAAUACUCAAGUCAAAUCUGAAGAGACCCACCCGAAGGCUGUCUAUGGCCCUGAGACCCACCCGUAGGCUGUCUGGCCGGUGCCGAGCCUAAUGGCCCCGUGGUAGUCAUCAUCCCCACCCUAGGAAUGAGCCUGGCCCACGGCAAUCCACUUCGGCGCCCAAUCCCGCACGGCGAAUAUGUAUCGCGAUGGCCAUCUCCGGAGUGCCGGCUUGUAGGGAGCGACCCUCACAAGCAUGUGCGAAUGAGCACAAUGGCAAGUAAUCAAACGAUCAGUCGCAAGUACCAAAUUCUCAUGUUCAGUAACAUGGUAUAUAGCAAAUGUCCUCGUGGCCAAGUCACUAUUUCAUCAUAUCUCAAAUAUGGAAUAUAGUUGAUGUCAAUGUGGCCUAUUAUCAAGUCUCUAUGUUGCAGUUUAAUAAUUCUCUAGUCCAAGUGCCUCUUUAUGACACUAUGGCUCAUUUUGUCCCAACAUGGAUACUAAGUUCAAGAACUUAUAAUUUCUAGUCAAAAUCGAAGCAUGAAACUUUAUUUCCUAUCAUCUCAUAGAAUAUUCGUCGCAUGCAUAUUAACAAAGCACAUUUGUCUCUCUACUAUAUAGAGUAACUUUCUUGAUGCAUAACAUAUGAGUUCCAAGCAUUCAAAAUUCCCAUAAAUGCUACUAAACAUGAAUAUGCAUGAAUUUGAAGAGAAUGAAAGCAUUUAACCACUUAGGAGGAAUUUCCUCCGAUUUCAAGGAAGCCAAACCCACCGUCGUCAACGAAGGCUCUCGUUUGUCACGACGAAGGCGUCCACCACACUCCUAGUACCCUAAAGGUACGAGAACAAGUGUCAUCUAGUCGAAACGAACGACGCUAAGUUCAAUCAUUAAGCAUAUAGGGCUAGGGUUGACGAAAAACUCACCGAUUGCGAAGGAAGCUCUCACAAUCUCCAAAUGGGAGCUAGAGUCCUUCCAAUCUAACCUAAACAAAGGUUCUAAACCCAUCAAUUUGGUACAAAAGCCCUCAAAACGAAAAUCCCCAAAUUUAACCCUAAAAUCCAAAAUCUAGGGUUUGAUCUAGUAAAAUCCAACAAAAACUAGAUCUAGAGGAAAGGAUCUAGUUACUAACCUCUUAGAAGCUCCAAACUAGGCCCCAAUCCAAAUGGGGUUGAAGAUUCUCCCUCCACAAAGCUCCAAUCCCGAGCUCAAGGCUUCUCUCAUGGAGGAAACCCAAUAAGAAGCAAGAAAAGCAAGGAGGAGAAGAUCAAAACCCAACAAAAUCCAUCAAAAAUGGGAGAGAACUCAAGAGAGGGAGUUCUUACCUUGUCUCCUCAGGUUUAGGGCUCAAAGGAGCUCUCAAAGGGGCUGGGGUUGUUUAUAAAGGGGUUGCAACAAUUGCAAAAACACCCCCCACGAAACUGCCCAGAUUCUGCAUUGUGUACCGGUACACGGGAAAGUGUACCGGUACACCUUCUGCGAAACUGCCCAACCCGAGCCUCGGGUUGGCAGAAAAACUAUUGUGUACCGGUACAACCAUCAAGGCGUACCGGUACAAAUUCUAUACCGGUACAACCAUCAAGGCUGUACCGGUACACAGCCUGGCUGAGGCUAAUCCGAGAGCUAACCAAAAAUUCAACUUUUUGGAUUUUGGUACACUGUUUCAAACCACAAUUCUCGGGACUCGAACCAUAGGUCGGAACACUGUCUACGACCCUUCAGACAGUCUGAGAUGGCUCGUCACGCAGAUCAAACACUCAAACCUCGCAAUUUGCAAAGGUCCAGUGCGUCACAAUUUUCAAGCCGAUCUCAAGCUAGCUCCGUUUCGCUUGUGUUCGGCACAUUGACAAUUGAGCCAAACACAGGCCGGCUCGAAUUAUUUUCGAGCUGGUCUCGAGCUGGCCCGAGCUUGCUCAUGUUCUGCUCGUUGACAACCCUCCAUAUAUCUUUAACAAAUGAGAAUGCAAAUUCAUAAAUUUACUCCAGAUGUGAACAUAAAAUGAAAAGUCAGGAAAAUCAGUUUGUGUAAGAAACAGAAAGAUUCAUAAAUCAGGUGUAGCGUCAAUGAAUUAAGCAUGAUACUGUUAAUCUGUAUAAAAUGAUUCAACCAUCCUAAGAAGCCAGAUAAGCUUGCAAUUAAGAAGGUAACUGAAAAUGGAAAGUAUAACUUUCAGUUAUACUUUUGUCUUGUAAGAGAACAUGGAAACAGGCUUGUUUCGUCGAAGCAUGAUCCAGUGAUUCAACAAAUAUUAAACAAUGACUUGUAAAGAAAAAUUGUAUAACUUAUCACAAAUUGGCAUUGAUCUCAAGAUAUACGAAGUGUAAGUGCAACCUAGUAAUUGAACUCUGAUGUCUUGGUGCUGUCGGCAAAUGAUGGACACAACCUGUAACUAGAGCUGAAACGUGGAAAAAUUCUGGCCAGGUCAUUGUGCUAAACCUUUCAUACUAAGUGCAAAGUAUCUCUAACAGUAACAUCUAGACCAUGGAAUGCCUAUCCUCUCUCUGUAUGUGCGCAAACAUAUAUGAUAAAAAAGGAUUAGUUACCUAACUAAAUACUCUUGACUAAAGGUCCAAACAGUACCAUGUAUGCAAAGCUCAUCUUUUGCGACCAUCCAAAAACAUAAAAGAAUUGUCUAACCUGUAUUACUGUCAUACACACAUCUGAUGACGCUAGAUUACACUAUUUGUCCUCAAACUCUUGUUUGUAUUUCAAGGUGGUCCCUAAUCCUCAAUUUAUUGCAUCAGGGGUUCAAGCUAUCAAAUUAUUCCAAUCCUAGUCCUGCUUUCAGUUUCCAUUGUUCAGAGAGAGGGAAAUCUAAUGCACCAUGCCACAGUGGCAACUCACUAUUUCUAAGCCCAUUCAUUCUGAGCAAGCAUGAAAACUCCUACCAUAGAACACUUAAAAAUUGCAGGUUACGUGUCUAUUAAUUAACUGCAAGCCAGCAAGCAAAUUAAUAGGCAAAGUAGGGUUUCUCUAGCAGGAAUUUCCCUACUUUAGUCAUAAUUGAUGGUUGUAGAAACAAUGACUCUGCACACCAGAUUUUUGUCUAUCUGGUAAAUGAAAGCUGAUAGAAGAACAAGGAUUGGAAAAUAGGCUUCCUAGUGCAAUGUUUAUGGACUAACGUACAAUUUACCUUCUUAGUUGCAUAAUUAGAAGUCUUGACAGUCUUUGUAUAAUGUCUUCUUCAAUCCUAGGAGCAAAAUUGUGAAGUCCUUCACAAACCUUUGAAUACCAAGAUUUCAGAAACCAUAUUUUUGUAGUCUGGAAUUUUACAACAGCGCACCAGUAGGUUCUUUUCAAAUUUGUGGCUGCAUUAGAAUCUGUGCUUGUUUAGUUCUGCUUAUCUGAAUCUAUGCUUGUUUAGUUCUGCUCAGAUAACCCAAAAAAAGGUGUUUGGCAUUUAUGCAAUACUUAAGGAAGCGCAAAAAAAUGCGUUCUUCAUCCCAACCACAAAAGCUCCAUUGUUCGAUCGCCUGUAAUAUAGGCAAAGGCCGAACGCACAAAUCAUAGUUAUUGAACACAUUAAAAUGAUGAGAAUGCCCAUAUACAAAGAGUAUACUUCAUGUCUGCCUAAUUUAAAUUUGUCCAAACUAUACAUUCUUUCUCUUCUGUCGUGAAAAAUGCAAACUCUCUCUCUCUCUCUCUCUCUCUCUCUCUCUCGCAUGCGCAUACAAGAGGAGACCCUCCACCUGCUUGGUCGUAGGGGACCAUCACCUCUGCAAGCAGGAGAACGUAGGCCCUUCUUAUCUGCGAGCACAAGAAGAUGAGAAGGCUCCUACGUAAGCAGCAGGAGAUCCUCCUCCUAUGCCAGAAGGAAAACCUCCUACAGAAGACAGAGGGGUUUCCUCUCCUAAGGUUCACAGAGGAACGGCGCCUCUCCUCCACCUUUAUAAACAAAAGAGGAGAAGCUUUACCUUCCCCUUCUUAAUGCCAAGCAGAGGGACCCUUGCCGUAAAGGCUAAGGAGGAGCGCCCAUCCUCCUUAGCAUGGAGAAGCUUGCUCUCCUGCAUGAAAAAGGAAAUUCUCCAUUCCGCGCUUGCAAGAGGACUUCCACCUCUGUAAGAAGCAAAGUGUAAGGUACAGAACUUCUUAAAUUAUGAAAACUGGAGGAUAAGUCAGAAUUCUUUUUAUAAGGCUAGAUUUAAAGUUUCAUAUCAUUCUGACACCCGAGAGGUGGAAAAUAAAAUCCGACAGUUAUCUGAUAAAGAUUAGAGUUCGGUAGAGCUUCCGGUGACCAAACGGGGUCGAAACUAAAAGAUUAAAAUUUCUUUCAGUAAGUUAAGUAAAACCGAGCAUGACUGCCAAAUUUGAGCUCAAGCGGACGUUCAGAAGGGCAGACGAAAAAUAUCUGUAUCGUGCUGCUAAACUGAAUGUGAAUAGUGUUCUUGGAUAACUUGGAGGUCAAGUUUCCUAUGAAACUUGGGAUAACUUGGAGGUCAAGUUUCCUAUGAAACUUGGAGGUCAAGUUUCCUAUAUACAUAUAUAUAUGAAGGAUUGAACCUUUUCUCUCAUUCCCUCACACUUGCAACCAAAGAGAAAGAUCUCUCUCUCUCUCUAGCAAUUUCUCCACCAAAGAGAGGAAUUGGAGGUGGAUUUGGAGAAGAAAAAGCCUGCUUAGAGGUGAAGCUUUCUUUUUCUUCACCAUUGGCUUGAAGAGAGCUUGGGUUUGAGAGGUUCGGCGAUACGACGAGGCUACGUGAAGAUAUUAAAGAACGAAGCCGUUAAGGUACAGAUUGCCGCAGCUCGCGGCGAAAGCUUCCAAAAAUCACGAAAUCGGAACCCUAACCUCGUGAUAGCGAUAAAAGGUGGGGCGUGUCAUCCCGAAACAUCCGGGUUUCUUUUUAUGUCUAAGUUAAUUAUAUUGAUCAUAUUGUGCUAUAGGAAUAGUAGUUGUACAUUUCCAUUUCCUUGCAUGCUUUCUUGGUAGUGUAGCGGGGUGAGCUUGACACGUGGACUAGGAUAGUAUGAGGAUUGGGUCUUGUGACAUAGAAUCCUAUAGUGGCAAAAGUGAUGAACUUGGACAUAGCCUAGUAGAGGGGCAUUUAAUUAGUGUGGUAGAAACACUAAACUUGAACGAGUGGCAUGUCAACUAGUAGAAAACUUACUACAAUGAUCAAACGAGUGGCAUUGAGUCUAGUAUAGUAAACUUGACAUGAACCCAGGGAUAGUAGAGGUCCCAACAUUGAUUAUAUAUCAUGAUUGUGCAGUAGAGGCACAUUGACCCUAGUAGACAGGGUAUCCUCUUGAGAGGAUUGGAUCAUACUCACUAGUCUGUUUUCGCUUGUCGGUGGUCGCUCCACCGAGGCACGAGUCUCCGGAGUACUUCACUAGGGGCAGACGUAGUUGUCCCGCAGACGGUCUCGGUGUGCGAGUACAGUUUCUCCUCACCUAUGAGAUUGAGAGUGAGUCGAGGGUUAACCUACGGGUUAACCAAGUAGAUUGGGUAAUAAACAUGAAAUGCAUAGUAGACUUGCAUUAUUACCUUGAGUAGACAUAGUGUAUGUUGUAGUUUACAUUACUAUGCACCUUUAUAUACUCAUGACAUGAUACUAGCAUGAUAGUAGUUGUUGCAUGCAUUAUUAUCAUUGAUGGCAUGAUAGAGUAGUUGCAGUUCGUUUUCUAUAUAUCUAUCUAUCUCUCUAUCUGUGCCAGCUUAGACCUAGUGGGAAAACCGGCGGCGUCGGCGGCCGAACCCACUGGGAACUAUAUUUAUAUAGUUCUCACCCCGUGUGGUUUUGGGGUACAGGUACACACAGAGGCGAGCCGAGCGAGGACCGCGGCAAGGGCAUAGCGCCCUAAGUGAGCCUAGUUAGUAGCUUUUCCUUUAUGCAUUAGAGUACCCUCGUGUACUAGAUGAUGUUUUGGAUAGUUAUGGGAGGGCUACUUAUAUCUUGAAAAAAACAUGUACUUACAUUUUGGAAGAUGAAAAUGUAAUAUAUUCAAAUGAUGUAAAUGUUCAACGGUUGUAAUAGUUAGACUAUCUCUCUUUAUACACUUGUACAUUCACUUGUGGUUCUUGCUCUUAGUUAUAGUGCACUUGUGCGCAUCGUAUCGAUCAUGUAUGUUAUUUAAGCAUUCCCUGGGCGCUUAACUGUACAUGAUCUGGUUGCUUAGCUUUGGGCGGACAGGAAAGGUGCUGUCCGUUCGGCGGUCCGUCCGGCGCGCCCGAACCGUGCCAAAUUGGUAUUGGACUCGGGGCGGGGCGUGACACAAAGGGAAAGAAAUAGGCCUCUAAACUUUAUUUCUUCUAAUAAUACACUCAUGAUUUUGUCCAUUUAGUCAAGAUAUAUUAUUGAUUAUUUAACGAAAUCUCCAAUUCAAUCGACCAAAAUAACUCACAAAUUAUAGGAUAGUUAUUCAGUUCAUGUGAUUGCACUCCAUUAAAUUUUACAAUUAUCAUCUGUCCACACGUUUUCACAAAGUUUACAUCCAAAUUUAAUGAUCAUCCAAAACUCUGUGUAAGGUACCGGACUUCUAAAAUCAUGAAGUUACGGUGUACAUUUGGUUAGUGAGCCAUUAGAAAGGUUCCGGUGAAGUUCGGUGAAGUUCGGGAGCAUUCGGGCGAUUCGGUGCGCGUAGGCGCGGAAACGGAACCCGAAAGGCUAUGUUAGGCCAUGAGUUAAAUCCGGCAUUAGUGUGGAUGAAAAGAUGAAGAAAACAUGCUCGAAAACAUGUUUGGAGAGUCUCGGUUCGAUUUGAAACGAAUCGGAGGUCAAACGGACGAAAACGGAGCAAAACGGACCCCGAAAGCUGAAAAAGCUGAAAAUUUGGCUAAGUCUGGAAUGCUAUUUUUCUGGACAUUGGGGGACCGGUUCCUCAAGUCCAGAGACCGGUCCCAGCACCCGAAAAUGGCCCAGUUUGGGCUGUGUGUGACUUAUAUUGUUGAGGGACCUUUGUGCAAUUGUGCCAAGGGUAUAGAGAGGGUUGGGGGCUUAUUUCCUCUCCUUCUCCCUCACACUUUGUAACCUAAACUCUCCCUCUCUCUCUCUACAAAGAAAAGAAAGAGAAGAAGUAGAAGAGGAAAGGGAAGGAGAAGGUGGAGGAGAAGGCUUGGAGAAGGAGUUCUACUUCUUCUUCUUCCUCUUUUGGCCAUUGGAGAGGCUUGUUUGAGGUAAGCUUUACACCCUCUAAUGGUAGCUUCUAGUUUAUGGGUUUUUAAGCUUUAGAAAUGGGAUUUAAUGGUGAUUUAGAGAUUGUUAAUCUCAUUUGUUGCAAGAUCUAUAGCUUGAUGUUGCUCUUUGCAACAAUGAGGAGUUAGAGCUCCAAAUGAGAGCUUUAAUGGUAGAUCUCUAGGGCUUUGGUCUUAUGCUCUAGAAAUGGAUUUAUUAGCCUUCCUAGAUGCUAAUUAGAUGGAUUGUGUUUAGAUCCAGAGUUCUAAUGGUGGGUUUUUGUCUAAUUGCGACCUAGGGCUCCAAAAUGAGGUUUUAGCAAAUCUUAGGUUAUGAUCUAUUUUGAGUGGUCAGAAACCUAAUUGCCAUGUCUCCGAACGCGUAGGAAGCGACGGUUCGUCGAUUCGUCGAGCGGGUGCGACGUUCCGGCUGAAACAAGUGCUAGAAGGUCCGUUUUGGCCCGAGGAGCCGAGGCGACGUGCGAAGACCGCGAAGACAAGCUUUCUAACCUUUCGGCAUUACCAAAAGGUGGGGGAGUGCCAUCCCGAAGCAGUCGGGCUACUCUUUAUGUCUAAGUGCUAAGUUGACCUAAUUGCAUAUUGUGAUAUUGCAUUAUAGGGUGCUAAAUGUAAUUGUUACCUAUUCUUGCAUACUAAUAGAAUAGUGUAGAGUUGAGUUGCUUAACACCUAAAUCUAGUAUGCAUGAGAUUAACGUCAAAUGACUUGAGACCCUAUAAUGAAGUGAUAGUUGAUAGGAAGUGAACCUGCUUAUGUGAAUGAGAAUCUAGUAUGGUAUAACUAAUGUUUGAGAACAACAAACUUGACGAGUGGCAUCUAGUUAACAUUUAACUUGACGAGUGGCAUCUAGUUAACGUUGAACUUAGGAGAGAACUAGUUCCCAAGUGAUGUUGUCUAGAGUGGUAGGGUAUCCUCAGUGACGGGGAUUUGACCAUACUCAUAUGUCUGUUCAAAGCUUGGUGUGGUCGCUCCACACAAGCAGUGCACUCCGGAGUCGUCACAUGAUAGGGAUAGCCGUUUGGGUCCCGAGGGAUAGCCGUUUGGGUCCCGCAGACAGUCUUGGGCGAGUGAGCUGAUCCUCCCCAGGUGAGUUGGGUGAGUGAGUUGAUCCUCACCUAUGAGUUGAGAUUGGGUUGUCGUACCUAUGUUGAGAGUCGGGCGAGUGAGCGGAUCCUCCCCGUUGUGUUUGGAUUGUGAGUCGGGUGAGUGAGCAGAUCCUCCCCGUUGUGUUUAGAGUGCGAGUCGGUGAGUGAGCGGAUCCUCACCUAUGUGACUGAGUAGACGAGCAUAGUAGUAUGAGAUAGGCUACCUAUUAUGUUGCAGUUUAUACAUGUACUUCUGUUGAAAGCAUAGUAUCAUGAGAUAGGUUGCACAUUAUUAUGUAGUUCAUGCAUUCAUAGCAUUGGAUUGAGGCAUAGUUGGAUAUUAGCAUCGCUUUACAUUAUGCUUACCGUUACUGCUUUCAUAUAUAUCUACCUAUCUUUCCGUCUUCGUCUUCCUAUGCCUGCUUAGACCUAGUGGGUAGAUCGGCGGAGUCGGCGGCCGAACCCACUGGGAACUAUAUUCAUAUAGUUCUCACCCCGUGUGGUUUGGGGUACAGGUACUGUCACGCCCUGGGCUUCAGCGGAAGCUUAUCAGCAACGUGCACAGAUCCGCCGUGUACAUUUCUACCUCAAGAGUACACCAGGCGUCUACAAACAAUAUAGUGAAAUCAAGUGAAUCUAACCAGGUAAUCAGAGCACGACUUAACAUUAAAGUAAACUUAUACAGCUCGAAAUCUUAUUACAACUUAAACAGUAAAGAACAUUCUGUAACAGUCCCAAGGUACAACACUGAGCUAAAUUAACAGAAACUGGUAGUGGUUCAUCUAUUUAACGUCGAGAAAGCUCUAUUUGGCCGUUGACCCCUCGCCAGGAAUCCCUAACCUUUCCCGCUGUGGAAGGCUCUAUAAAACAACAAUAAAAAGAGGGCGUGAGAACUAUUAGACAAUAGUUCCCAGUGGGCAAUUACUGACUUCAGUGAAAUGCACCACUAGGCUAACCUAAGAAUGCUGUAAAAAAUAACUGAACAAGCAAGUAUGAAAUACAAGUAUGAAGAGUAAGUAUGAAUAUCAAUUCAUCAUAUAUGCUAAGGACAAUUUAAAGUCAUAUACUAGUUUGCAUGCAAAUAUUUCAUUACAUCAGGAUUAACUGAAUAUGUUUUGUAACUACAUCUUAUAUUAUUAAGAGUGUAACAUACUGUCACUACGUUAUCAGUUAAUCAAGAUGUCAAUCUGUAAGCCUGUUUUCAUUAAGUUACCUAGCCAAUGACAUAAAGUAGCCUUACUACUAUGUUUAUCUCAGAUUAAAAUAACUCAUGAUAACCCAAUUCACAGUAGACUUACACAAGGUAAAGUCAUAGCCGCGCCGUGCCUAAUGGCCCCGUGGUAGUAUACACUCCCCACAGCAAUCCACUUCGGCGCUCAAAUCCAAACACAAGUGAGCAAUCUGUCACUAAGCUACUCCGGAGUGCUGGGCUUGGGGGGCGCGACCCCCACAAGCGUGUGCGAAAGAGCGUAAUGGCAUACAAGCUGUAAUCCAUAGUACCAGUAUCACAACAUCAUCAUGUCCUUGACAUGGAAUCUCAACUCGACUCAGGGUCGACACUGUAGUACUCAAGUUACCUGUCACUCUCAACUACUUGUUGACAUAAUUCUCAUAAUAGCUAGUAUAACUUAAUAAGUUCAAACUUUACAUCAUAAUAGUAAUUCUAUCAGGCUAUACCUGUACAUUAACUUCUAGUCCUCUCACUACUCCUUAUUCAUAAGGAAAGUGGUUCAUUGAAGUCAUCUCUAAUGACUCAUGGCACAUUCUAGAGUUCAGCAUAACUUCCCGCUAUUUGGAGUAAACCACUAAUGUACAAUAGUUUCUACUUGAUCAUACCAGUCUAUUGUCAUGUUCGACUCUAGGUAUUCCAAGGUCUUAUUCAGAUUAUAACAUUCAUGUUACCAAUAUUUGAUAAAAGCAAUGACCAACUUGUCCAUAUAAGCAUGUGACAUUAUUAGACGUGGUAUGUUAAGAGUUCCAUUAAUCGAUACAAGUAACUCAAAAAUAUAUCCUUCACUUAGUAAUCCUGCAGAAUUAAAUGUCAUGCUCAUAAUUUUACAGUUAACAUAUCUGGAAGGAUGUGUACUUUACUUAUUUGCACUAUUACAUUCAUAACCUGAAUACAUGCUAAGUAAGCACAGUUUAUAUGAAUCCGGCAAUUUCAUAAUUCGUCCUUUACCAUAUACAGGUUUCAUGGUAUGCAAUCUAAUGUACAUUCUGCUGCAUAAUUUCAUCUCAAGAUCCUCAUCCCUUUGAUGUCUGGUAAAGUUAAAAGUCACCUCAAGCUUUCCACCAUUCCUUCCUCUUGAAGGGUGUCAGCUCUACGAGCUUAUACGAGCUAAUACAAGCUAUUCAUUUUAUGAACAUGCACAAAUGGAGCAAUUAUUCUAUAUGAAGUAAACAACUUCAAAGUUCUUCCACUAUUACUCAACGAUACUCAGCAUGAUAGGCGCAUUAAUAUAUGUCUUGAUUCCAAUAAGUAUACAUGCAUUCAUAUACAUAUGCAAUAACCUUGACUCAUAAGUCAAAGGAAACAUAGAGAAACUUACUCAUUUCAAGGAGGUCAAACCCACCUGUUUGCUGUCAACUUUUGUUGCUCCCAUAAUAGAAGUAAUCUAUUAUAGUGCUAGAGCUUGAAUCUCAAUUUUGAUUCAGGUUGGGACACCAAAUUCCAUCGUAGAAAGCUCUCUAAUUUCAGCUGAACAAGAUUAGAUAGCCUGCUGCAAGUUAGUAUCAAAACGGCACCAAUAUACAUCUCAAAUUGUAUAGUAGAAACCAGAAUUUCACCUAGGUUUAGCUUAAUGCUAAUCCUUUACUUUAACAUCAGUUGAAGCAUCCCGAUUCCAGCUCUCAAUGGUCACUAAUUCAUCUCAAAGAGGCUUAAUCUCCUGCUGAAUUGGUAUAAAAACUGUUCCAAAGUUACAGCUAAUCCAAUCAAUUAAAGAACUAGUGGGUAAUAUACCUUCCAAUGGCUUUAGUUCAGUUCUAAAAUAGGUAAACAUAGGUCAAGCCAGCUUCAGAAAUCAUCCCAAGUUCAGAUAAGAUGUUCACAUUUUCUGCUGGAACUAACCACCAAUUCAGCACCAAUUACUAAUACUACUAUUACUAUUUCAGCAUUAGAAUAGAGGAAGUAGCCAUUUAAUCACCUUCCCAUCAUCACCUCAGCUUUUCUUUAGCUCAGGAUCCAUGAUUCACCCUCAGAGUUUAUUGCCAAUACCGUCAAAACCAGGCGCAAGGUUCAUCAAGCUUCCUGCGGUGACCUCGCUGCAAAACAGUUCCCAAAACUGCAUCAACAUACACCCUACCAUAUUCCAACAGGGAAGAAAGUAACUAGUUGAUCUUCUCAAACUCAUAACUCAGCUCCAACUGAGUUAGGGUACUAUAAAAUACCCUAAAUAUCUACCAAAUCAUUCUCUCAACCAGCUGUAAACAAGAGAUUAAGAACUCACCUCAUCUUUAUUCCAUAGCAUCAAUUAAGGGAAAGUUGAGUACUUUACCUUACUCAGCUAUGAUCCCUAUUUCUAUUGAGUUAAGGCUGUGAAUACCCUCUCCCAAGAUCAUUUCCCUUCCUCUCCAAAGCUGCUCCAAGUUCUCCAAAUCAGUAAACACCAAAGAGAGGGAAAGAAAUCAGCUCCAAAACCUUGCUUCCUUGUAGAGAGAGAAAAACUCUAGAGAGAGAGAAAGAGAGGCAGCUCCCCCUGCUUCUCAAAGCUUCCAGCUGAUAAGAACAAGCUAGGGGUCGAGCUGAGCUGAUAAGGAUCAGUUAGGGAAGUGAAAAGACCGAAAAAACCCUGCUGCCACGUAACUGCUGUGUUGGUGCUUGCUGUACCGGUACAGCAUCAACCCUGUACCGGUACACAUUGCAAAAUCUGCUCAAUAGGCAGUAGCAAUGCACUUCGUCAUUCCCUGCCAUUAACUCACUCUCAUACUUGUCCACUACCCUCUCUAAACCCAUUAGAACAUGUAGGAUAGUUCCAUUUGUUAUCCCCACUCGUCAGACUUCAUAAUCAGUCAAAUUUAAAUAUCCCCUUUGAACUUCGCACUUCCAUGUCACAAGAGCAACGCACUUUUACCCUUCCGGCUGUUUAAUCACUCUUAUAACUAGUCAAGGACCCCCUUGCCAAUCUUUAAAAAAUGUGAGUUAGCUCCAGAUACCAACCCCACAUUCGAAUUUCACAAUUAACCAAAUUCGGGGUAUACAAAUUUGAUAGUGCAUUUGUGAUGCGCUUUUCCACUUCUGGCCUCUUGCUUGCUUUAGUAACUUACUGGAAACCUCUCAUAAUCCUUCAGAGAUCGUAGAAUAGUUCCAACUACUAUUCUACCACUUGAGCUACGCAAUUCGCCCCAAAGUUCAGUGUAUUACAGGUACACACGAGAGAUCUCCGGCCGAGGACCGCGGUAAGGGCUUAGCGCCCUAGUAUUUGUAGUAGUUACUUUCCUACUUGCAUUAGAGCUACCUAUACCUUUUGAGAGUAGAUGAUGUAUAGGUGUGAGGCUAUUUUGGAAAUUGUAAGCUUUAAGUUCAUGAUGUAUUAUGGAAGCUUUAAUUGUAGUUAAAUGUAUUAAAGUUGAAUGGAUGUAAUAGCUAGUUAUUUCUCUCUUUUAUUCACUUGUUCACUACUUGUGAUGCUUGCUCCUUAUAUGUUUAGCACUGGUUGUGCUCUCGCUAUUGUUGGAUUGUGUAUGUUAUCAAGUUGUUUUCCUGGGCACUUGUUGUACACAAUCUCGUCGCUUUAGCCUUGGGCGGACAGGGGAGGUGCUGUCCGUUCGGCGGUCCGCCCGGCGCGCCCGAACUGGGCCAAAUGGGUUUCGGCUUCGGGGUAGAGCGGGGGCGUGACACUCUGGGCCUAUUGAGACAGUGGCAAAUUGCAAUUAAAAAUCGAUGCAACUUUUUAAGCCAAAAUGCAAUAGGAUUGCAGGCUAAAGUGCAAAGAGAUUUUUGUAAUUUAGCCCAAAAUUAAAUUAAAUUAACAGGGCGUCAAUCAAAAGAAAAUAAAGUUCAAGGGCCAAUUUCAAGAUUGUUUAUAAUUGAGGUGGUCUUCAUACACUUUUACCCUUAAUUUUUAUUUUAUAUUAAUUUUUUUUUCUACAUUGUAUAGAAGAUGGUAGCUUUUCACUGGGAAGUUUUGCCAAAAAACUUUCUACAGUAGACAACGCUUGUAUGGCAGAAUUAGCCAAACAAUAUAGACCUUUUCUUUCCCAGCACCACGCUUCUGCAACCAAAGUACACCCUACAGCCAAGUCAAGCAAACCCUAUCUCUUGCAUCUUUAGAGAGCUCAAAUCCAAGGUGGUUUUGUAAAUUUGAAUGGACUACCAUAAGAAAUCAGUACUAGAGGCACUACAUAACAUUUAGUAGCUUUUUAUUGGGCUCUAUUUUCCCAAUGAUAGUAGAUUGGCUCAUUAUAAAACAUCAUAAUUCAUCAAAUAGCUAAUUGUAGACAAACAGCCAGGAUACUCUUUUAUAGAACCCAGCUACUAUCCUUUUAGGGGGACGGAGGCCUUCGUCCUCCUAAGUAGUUUUAGAUGAUAGGGAUCCCGAAUCGAUGAUCAGAACCGUUAAAGUUGAUCUAGAGUAUUUAAAGUGUCUAAAACCAAAUUUCAUGAAUUUUAAAAUUAUUUACGUAUUGAUCAAAGGAUCACAAAAUCGACAGUUUUUUAUGGCCUAUAUGAGCCGUUUGCUUGUUUAACAGCGUAAAACAAUCCAAACAGCUUGAAUUUUUGGUAGAAAAUUUUUUAUAUUAUUUAGAAAACGUUUGGUAACUCUGAUCAUGAAUUGAAAAAGUCUAACAUUUAUGUUCACAAGGUUAUUUGUUUUCUACUGUUUAUUUUUCGACUCUUCAAUGAAUUUGAUAACGAAUUUUAAAAUUUAUGGAAUUUAGUUUCUAAAUGUUAUAAAUACUCUGUUCCGAUCAUCGCGACUUAGGAGGACGAAACCCUCCGUCAUCCUAAAAGGAUAGUAGCUGGACUCCUCCUUUAUAAUACUAUAGAAGGACCAUAUUCAUUAGUCUAUUCAAUAAGACGAAAAAAGUAAUGACAACAUCAUUUUGAAUUUAGAAAAUGUUAGGUUAGAAAUUUUUUUAAAUGUAGAUUAAUAAAAGAAGCAAAAUAUGCAUCACUAAUGUCCACAAUAUAUGUUUAGACUUUAAACUAUCUGAAAUGACACAAAAGUGGAGAUAACAAGACAUACCAUAUCCCAAAAUUAUGGAGCAAAUUAGAAAACCUAGUAAAGAGAAAUCCAUCUUAUAGAAUAUCUCCAUUAAAAUGAUGCAUCCUCCUGAAACCAGUAAGUGCCUUGGAGAAGAGAAAACAAGGUGCAAUCUGCAAGCAAAUCCCAUGGAAGUUAAAGCCCCAAAACAUCUAAAUUUUAAAAGAUGCAGAAGAAAAUAAUUAGUAGAAAAUCAAAAAACAAGGCAAAGAUCGACCUAAAUUUCUUGAUUUUACAGGUUUCCUAGAGAUGCCCUUUACGAUUUUGGUUCCAGUUGGAGAGAUUACUGGACAAUGAUGCCCUUUAGGGCAUAUUUGGUUUAGGUUAUCCUGUCAUGAUUACAGUCAAUUUUGCCAGGAUCACUGCAUUUUUGUUCAUUUAGUAUGUAAUCUGAUCGAUAAUGUAACAUUACAAAUGGUGCAGAUUACUCCGAAAAUAUUAUCGAGCGAGGGGUGGUAUCUAUCUUACUGAUGGAAAGUUAUCUUACAUGUUAUAUAAAAUUACAAGUUUACCCCUCCAACCCUUCCACACCCCUUCAAUGUGUCAUUUCUAAAAUUUUUGUUUAAAAUUUUCAAUUAUCAAAUUUUAAAUUUUAAAUUUAAAUUUUAAAUUGUCAAAUUUUAGAUUUAAAUUUUUAAAUUUUUAAUUUCAAAUUCUAAAUUUCAAUUUUAUAUUUUAAAUUGUAAAAUUACAAAUUUCAAAUUUAUAUUUCAAAUUCUAAAUUUUAAAUUUCAACUUAAAACUUAAAUUUAAAAUUUUAAAAUCUAUAAUUUAUAAUUUAAAUUUGAAAUUUAAAAUUUUAGAAUUUUAAAUUUUAAACAUCAAAUUUAUAUUUUUAAAUAUAAAUUUUAAAUUUAGAUUUUAAAUUUUAAACAUCAAAUUUAUAUUUUUAAUUCUAAAUUUUAAAUUUAGAUUUUAAAUUUUAAAUUUAAAUUUAAAUUUAAAUUUAAAUUUAAAUUUUUAAAUUUAUAAGUUCAUAUUUAUAUUUUAAAUUAAAAUAUUAAAUUUUAUAUUUUUGUUUAGAUUUAAAAUUUUGAAUUUUAAAUUUAAAAUUCAAAUUCAAAUUCAAAUUUUAAAUUAUUUGAAAAAAAAUUUGUAAAAAAUUAUUACUUGUAAAGAGUAAAAAUUUUUUGCCAAAUAUGACUAGGGCGCAUUUUGUUCAAGUUAUGUAAUAUUACAAAGUAUUUCGAUAUAUCCAGGUAUCCUGGAUUUCUAAAUAAGAAUACUACUAAUGCUGCAUUAGCGCGUUUGGUUUAAUGCAGUAAUAUAAUACUGGAUUGCAGUGUUUAUAGCAUUACUAUAUUUGGUCCAGUCUAUAAAAUUUAGUAAUCUUGACAAUAAAGUAUAAUCUAUUCCAAAAUUGACCUUAUAGCUAUUUUUGGCAAACUUUUUUUUACUCUUUACAAAUAAUUUUUUUUAUUAAAUUUUAUUUUAAAUAAUUUAAAUUUUUUCAAAUUUUAAAUUUGAUCAAAAAUAUAAAAUUUAAUAUUUUAAUUUAAAAUUAUAAAUAUGAAAUUUAUAAAUUUAAAUUUUAAAAUUUUAAGAUAAAUUUAAAUUUAAAAUUUAAAAUUUAAAAUCUAAAUUUAAAAUUUAGAAUUUUAAAUAAAAUUUUGAAUUUUAAAUUUUAAAUUUUAAAUUUUAAAAUUUGAAAUUUGAAGUUUAAAAAUUUAAAAUUAAAAUUUAAAAUUUAAAAUUUGAAAAUUAAAAAUUCAAAUUCAAAUUUUAAAUUUUAAAUUUGACAAUUCAAAAUUUUAAAUUAACAUUUUUAAAAUGACAUAUUGAAAAUUUUUUGGGAGUUGGAGGGGUGAACUUGUAAUUUUAUAUAACAUGCAAAAUUAGCCGCUUUCAGUAAUCCAAGAUACACACCCCCCCUGUAAUAUUUUCGGUGUAAUCUUACACCUUCUGUAAUGUUACAAUACCGAACAGAUUAGAUACCGAAUUAACCAAAUGUAGUAAUACUGGCAAGAUUGCCUGUAAUCCUACCAGAAUAACCCAAACCAAACAAAUCCUAAGGGCAAUUUUGGAAUACACUACAUUUUAUUGUUAGGGUUACUGAAUUUUAUAAAAUGAACCAAAUAUAGUAAUUCUAUAUAUACUGUAAUCCAACAUUAUAUUACUACAUUAAACCAAGCACAGUAAUACAGCAUCAGCAGUAAUCUGAUUUAGAAAUCUCAGAUAUAUGGUUAUGACGAAAUAACCUGUAAUGCUACAUAACGCGAACCAAAUGUGUCCUUAAAUGAUUUUGGUUCCUAUUAGAAAGGUUACUUUCUCAGUGUGGCCAUUAGGUUUGUGCCAAAUCCCACAUAUUUCCUCAUUUCUUCUGUAUUUAUUUCUCAACUAAUUAGAAAACUUAUUUUAUUCGAAAAAAGUCUUAAUGUACUGUAAUAAUUAGCCAUUCAUCAUAAUAAUGGACUAUAUUCUGUUAACUAUACUUUUUGACUUUUCUUAGUUGCAUAUUGGAGUUUCUCAUACAUUUCAAGGCGUCCUACUAUUUACCUAGUGAAAAAAAAAAAAAAAAAAAAAAAAAAAAAAAAAAAAAAAAAUCUAUAUUGGAGAAAGUACAAGUACCAUGCAUGUAAAUAACAAUUAUCAAUAUCAUUUACAGAAAAUAAAUUUUUGCCAUUGUUGAAAAGCAAAAUGGUGAUAAGUUGAUUUAUAAUGCAGAAAGAAGCAACUGUUGGUUUUGUUUUUUAUAAUAAAAUAAAAUGAUCAGCAGUAGUGGAUCUCUUUCGUCUCUAUUUUUUCAGGAAUAAUGCUAUAUUUUCACAAAAAUGAAAGCAUAAAGAGUGCACAAAAAAGAAAAAUAAAAAAUCUGAAUGCAAAUACUUUGUCCCAUGAGGUAGUUAAUCAUUUGAAUUAAGAAUUUGUGACAACAUACCUUUCCUCUGCAACAUUGUCAAUAUAGUAUAUAAAGAAAAUUCCAAAAACAAUUGUGCUCAAAUAAGCCCUGCUCGGAAACUGAAACUUAAUUAUGCUAUCGGAUGUCGACCCCUGCACUCAAUCAGCAAACAACAAACAUGAACUUUUCUACCCCUAGUAAAUAAAAAGGGAAAAAUCUGUGGCAUAAGAGCUUGCAGGCCAUAGCUAAAUAUUAAGAAAACAUUUUUUUGUGUAAAAGAGAUGUGUUGUUAACCUAUACUCACUAAGAUUGUAUCCCACAUGGCAACAGGAAAAAGAAAGCACGUAGCUGAAGCAACAGUUAUUGCAUGAAGCCGCCUUUUGAGCUGAUUCUGCAGGCAAACAAUGGAAAUAGUUAGCUAUGCAAGUUGACUUGUUAAACCACAGCAGAAAUUACUAGGAAAGAUGGAACGAUGCUCAAUUCUUCAAGAACAAAAAGUAUAUUGGAAAGGGAAAAAAUUCAAAAAAAAAAAAAAACCUUCAAAGAAAUACGUCUUGCUAUCACCCUUCUCAAAGCUGAUAAAAUACCAGCAGAGAUUGGCGCCACCAUUUCUUUCAUUCCUAAAGGUUGCUUUUCCUGCACCACCUGUUCUCUCCCAAAGCUAGCUAUAUCAAGUCAAGUCUCCCAAUGACACGACAGCAACAUUUGCACAUCGUAUGAUAUCAUAAACUACAUAUUAGAACAGCAUUCAGCUUUGCUGCCGCAAUAACUUGUGAUGCAUUAGUUCCGCAAAUUAAAAUAUUCAAGAUUAAAAACGAAUUUGGAUACAGAAUGGCGAAUAUGAUCUGGUAGCCCACCCAUUUGAUAAGAAAUAAUAUGAUGCCAUCAUUGCAGCGAGUCCACCAAACUGUACAAAAGUCAGAAAGAAAUCAGAAAAACUAUUCAAAUGUUGCUAAGCUUAACUUCAUUUACAAUUAUCUAUUAUGAUCACCAUCCCAGUUUACUGGUUAGUGAUACCAGAGUAGAGAUUCUACAAGUCACUUUCUGAGCACAAGGAAAAAUUUUGUGGUUUCUGAAGCAUCAAUUAUCAAGAACAUUCAAAAAUGAAAUUAAAAUCUUAAUAGGAAAUAAAAUGCAAAUAGCAAGUCAUAACAUGCACUUUUGUAUGCACAUGCAUAUGCACACGUGUUUUUGUGCAAGGGACCCACGAGCACCGCACAUGCCCAUGCGAAUGAAUAUAGUGAAUCAAAUAGUGAAAAGGAAUAAUGUUGUCGAUUAAACCCUAGUACAUGUUAAAAUAGCCGAGUGCUUUCUUGAUUUCUUUAGAGAUGACUAACAGUAACAUAGAAAUGACUAACAUAAAAAGAUAUGCAAUAAUAGAAACAUCUCCGUGAUACUAUCAGAGUGUAAAGUGCACCAUCCUAGUUGAAGCCUGCCAGCAUGUGGCCAUGUUAAUUAAUAUUGCUGUGGAAAACUAAUUUGAACAAACAAUGCAUAUGCUUCCUCCAAAAUUUCUAAGCAACUUACCUUCUUCCAAAUCCAGACUCUCCUUCCAUACAAUGCUGCUGAGAGAACUCCAAGAAUAGCACCAGCAUACUCCGCAAUUAGAGCACUAAAAUCUCAAUAUACAAGAGUAAAUAACAGUUUAGCAGCUGCUUGCCAUAAAAGAAGAGAAAGAAAUAAGAGAAUUAUUAGCUUUGUCGACACGUAUUGGUUUAUAGUGCAGCACACAGAAGCAGCAUGCAAUAUAGUGACUUUCUGCAAGGAAGAGACAGCCUCCUUGCUGAGUUAGCAAUUCUUGCAAGGAAGCAAUCCUCACAAUACUCACACGGAAGCACCAAAUAAGCCAAGCAACAAAACAUUCAACUCUCAUAAACAUGCCUAAACACAAUUAAACUUACAUCCUAGGGAAAAAAAAAAUCUAAUAUUGAAAAGCUUUUGUUAACCAAUUUGCUGGAGUUAACUAUAAAAUAAUGUAAAUUAUAUUAUUAUACUGAGUUUGACUACUCUGCUGUAUCCUGCACUUGAACUCAGCAUUUUGCUAGGUCUGUCUCAUAUGUCACAUUUGCAGUGAAUCCACCAACAAUAUAUAUAUUCUUGAUAAGAAAUAACUUUUGCAAGUAUACUUACACAAGUGGCCCACAAGAAAGAAGGCCUUUUCCCCAUAAAGUGUAGUAUAAUGCCAUUAUUCCUCCAUUGAUCACUGUAGGUAUGACCUAAAAACUUUUGCCCGUUUUAGUACAUGUGAGUGGGUUUAAAUACAAGAAGGAAUAUAUCACUAUAUAUGAGUAUAGCGCAAACUAGAGAAAGAGCCAGAGAGAAACCUGUGAGUUCGGCAAGGGCCUGCCUUUCCAAGGCUUCUGCAGUACAAGGAAGACGAUAGAAGAUGGAACCAGGCAACUAAAAAUAAAAGCUACCACUGAAUCUCCUUUAUCAGAUAGUGAUGCGACCCCAACUUUCCUUUUUAAUAGUUUCCUUUUAAUAAACAAGUUCAAAUUUAAAUAUCUUGUUAUUUAGGAAUAUAUUUAGGAAUACGCAGUUAUCUUGUUUGGGAAUAGAUUUAUUAGGUAUGAUUAGGAGUAGUUUAAGGAUUUGGACUCUAUAUAAUGUAACCCGGAGUUACAAGAAAUAAGAAAGUAAUAUUAUCUCUUUUUCCUCAUAUCUUGUCUUCUCUUUCUACCUCUUCUCUCUACUUCCCUACCUCUCAAUUCUUUCGGAGGUUCGAUCCCCUCGAAGUUAUCGUUUAUCCCUAUUGAUACGGUAGGACCGUAUCAUUUGGUAUCAGAGCUUAUAUGGUCCUGACUCGAGCAAAAAAGAAACUCUUACGAAAGAUGGACGGAGAUUUCGUACGAAGGGAGGAAAUGAACAACGUUGAUACUCGAUUGAACAAACUGGAGAUCGAGGUAAAGUCCAUUAGCGAUUCCAUUAACAAUCUUAAAAAUUUAAUUAUCGCUAUGAACACAAAAAUGGAUCUGCGACCACAAGCACCGUCCGUAGAUACAUCCGCCUCCAGUUCCGAUAAAAAUCGUCCCCUUUUUCCUAAUCCCUUCAAGGAAGGGAUUCCUCGAAAUACGAGGAUUAGACUUCAUUCAGGAUCGACCGAGGGUCGUGUUGGUGAGCUUUGGAAAAGCCAAAGAUGUUAAAAUCACCAAAAGUGCAUUGGAAACGAGUCCACGAGAGCAAAUGGUGCGAAAUCUGCACUGGAGCAAAACUGCUCUCGGGGACCGGUCCCUGGCAGGGAGGGACCGGUCCCAUCAGCGGGUGUUGCGGGGUUGCUUGAGGCAACCGGUCCCUGGCAGGGAGGGACCGGUCCCCGAACGUGAUCCCAGCGAGAAAGCCAGAAAUUUGGCUAAGUCCUGAAAAUAUUGCUCUCGGGGACCGGUCUCUCAGGCAAGGACCGGUCUCCCGAGGACCGGUCUCUCUGGGAGGGACCGGUACCCGAACGCGUGACCCGAGCUGAAGCUCUCGGGGACCGGUCCCAAGUCGGGGAGACCGGUCCCUCCGCGCGCAGAAUGCCCAGUAA
This 87187-nucleotide long non-coding RNA is filed under the name Ananas comosus (pineapple). RNAcentral's name for it is "long non-coding RNA (ACOM_LNC009981)". The record is from RNAcentral. Lineage: Eukaryota; Viridiplantae; Streptophyta; Magnoliopsida; Poales; Bromeliaceae.